ACGGGGUACCUUUACGACCUUCCAUAUUACUAGGAAAAGUACCACAAAUUUUUUUUAUUUAAACAUAUAACCAAAGGUCGUAGCAAAUGUCGUCCCAAUUAGCAGCCCUUUAGAAUCUUUGAUUUUGACUUGAACCAAUUGGCAUUCCAUUUUACCGGGCCCUUGUCAAGACUCCAGACGUGUGAUGUAUCCAUUUUUCCUCCUUUGCUUUUGUCUAAACCAAAAAAAUUCAUUAUUAAAUCCAUCCAUUAACGAGGAGCAAUCUAAGGUUUAGCAAACCUCUCUAUGACUGAGUACCCUUUUAGUGUUUUAAUUAAAGAGUAAAUGAUUAACACGUUUACUUUACUCAAGUUGGAAUUUGAUUUUCUGAAAUUUAUUUCAUUCAAAUCUAUCUCUAUGUAAAUUGCAAAAGGGGUUUUUAGAAUGAUCAAGUGAUCGUGCUUCCAACUAUUUAUUAUUUCAAUAAAAUUUUGAUUUUUUUAAUUAUUAAAUAUCCCUUCAUGCCUUUUAAAUUUAAAAACUAAGAAAUGACUCCACUAAUAUAGAAAUUUUUAGUUUGAAAUUUAUUCAUCGGAGGAUAAAUAAAGAUGAAGCAUCCUAAGUCCUACUAAAAGUAAAACGGUAAAGAACAAAUAUUUUACUCUUCAACUCAGCAAUACUAAUUAAAAAGGCAAAUUAUAUAAAAAUGAAAAAAAUAAAUAAUGGUACUAUUCUUGAAACCUAAAUUAUGAAAUCACUAAAUUGAAAACAAAGUCCUACUAGCCCUUCAAGGGAAAAAAAAAUUAUUUUUGAUAAACAAAUAAUAAAAACAACACCAACCUCGCCAAAAAUAAAAAAAAUAAGUAACAAUAUAAUUUAAGAUAAAGAUCUAAAUCAAUUUGUACAUAUCUGAUUUAAAUUUGACCCAACCACUAAUAUUAACCUUCAGCAUUAAUGAUUAUUUUGUAUAUUUUUAUUAUAUUUUGCGAUUAUCGAAUGUAUUAUAAGAUAUUAUCAAUUUUUUAUUUGUACUUUCAAAUGCUAGUACUUGCAACCAUUGUGGUCAAUUCUUGGUUUUAUAUAGUUUUUAUAUUGUGAAAGGUAGAGUUAAAUAAUAUUCUAAAAAUGUUAAACCAAAUUGCGAGUUAUGCGUUUUUCUUUUCUCUUGCUUCAAAUUUCACCUUUCAAUUUAGAGGAUGAAUAGGAAUCAACUAUAAACUUUUUGACACCAUUCAGUCCAAAUUUAUAUCACAACAUUUAAACGUUGUUCUUUUAUUUUGAAGAUACAAAAGUAAGUAUAUUUUAAAAGUGUAAAAUUAAAUUGCAAGUUAUGUCAGGAUGCCAGUGGUUCUAAAAUUGUUUAAAGCCGAAAUUUUCUUUCUGGAAUUUGACGUAUCAUUAGUGUAAUUAAACACUCUAAAUCCAAAUUUGCACUGGUACGACUAUUAACAUCUAGCUCGCUGGUUGAUUCUCAUUGAAAUAAUUCAUUCGGACUGUGACAGACAACAUGCUCGAAGAAGCUUGAAGCAUCUAGAUCCUCAUCAAUCCCAACCAGAGUUUCUGUUCAUGCAACUCCAUCAUUUUAUUAUCAUUUCAUUUCUAGUGGAAUUAUCCGUCUCAUCUUGCAAGCCUAGCCUUAGCUAAAAAGACGGUUACACGCUAUUGAUCGCAAUAUCGCACUUUCAUCUCAUCGCAUUGUUUCAGAGUUUCGGAUUGGAGUAUCAACUAUCAAUCAUUUGUUUCAAGAUUUUAAAAACUAGAACCUGAUCAUGGUGUCCCCCAACGGAAACAUAUAAAAUUCGCAGCUCUCAAGUACUAAUAUUUUGGUUACGAAGUCAGUCCAAAUAUUUUUGUAUAUAAUUACAUAAGAAACCAUUUUAAAUAGUCUUUACUAAUAAUUAAAAGAAAAACAGAAUUUAGCUUCCAUACAUGUAUUUUUUGAUGUUUUUUGAACAGGGUAUAGGCGGGUCGAUUUUAAUAAUCAAUAUAGAUUGGAGUCUUCUGUUUUAUAUGAGCACUGCACAAACUCUAUACAAUCACUUGCACUAAUCAAUUUUAACGAUACAUAUGUCCUACACCCGUCUACCCGACAACCUAAUAUACAAUAAAAUGCAUCACUUUCUCGUGCCAUUCAUUCGUGUUAUUGCAAGUAAGACUGCAUACGAGUCGAGCCAUUAGCAAAUCGAUUGCAAGCAACUCAAGUUCGACCAAUAUCGACUUCGAAUCGAGUUCUAACUGAUCAGAUCAAAUUCGAAUUCAAAAAUAUUCAAUUCGUUAGCUCGCGAGUCUCUAUAAGGAAUUUCAUGAGGCCUUUAUGAGAAUUUAGAAAUCCGGCAUUUUGAUUUUUUUUAUUUUAAUAGUGAAAUUACAUAUAUAUAUUCAUAAUAUUUUAUUAUUUGUUAAGAAAAAUACUACUUUAUUCAUUUUUUGAAAUAAAAUUAAUUAUUUCUUUUAAACUUGAGUUCGACCUCAACUCAGCUUUAAUUUGAGGUUGAAUUCAAGCUCGAGAUUUACAUUAAGAGCUCGUCGAAUUCGAGAUCAAAUCCGAAUUUGGUAAAAUUAAGUUAACACUUAAUUUGAUUAAACCAAAGUUUGAUUUGACUCGAAUCAUUUGUACCCCUAAUUGCAAACAAAGUAUGGACAGGGAGUUGUAAGGUGGAGAGUAACAAUGCAAAGAAGCAAUUAAGAAAUAAGCUAAUUCUGGAGGUAGAAUUAUUUCUUAAAAUCUUUUUUUUCUUGUCAAAUAUUUAUUAUCCCAAAGGGGGUUGGUUCUAAGAUUUUCAACCCGCAAAAUAAGAUCAGAAAGAAAGAAAGAAGAGAUAUGUUACUGUGAAAGAGGACUGACUCUCGGAGGCAGUAGUGUUUUAAAAACCUUUGUCGAAGGCUUCGUCUUGAGACAGUCAUACUUGAAAUGCCCCAAGGCAAUCCAAUGCUCUCAAACGCCCCAAAUAAUAUAGAGAAGUUUGAGACUCAGAUUAAUUCGGUUUGUUGCAACGAGAAAAUGGAAAAAAAAGAAUUAUAAAACCUCACAAGUAAUACAAUGAUUAAGAAAAACCUCACAGCUUUGUGGUUUAUUAACCUAUACAUUUUACGACCUUGUUUGGAUUGUAAUUUUUUGAAGAAAAUUUUUUGCUCAUUCUAUAAAUAUUCUUUCUAUUUAUUUUUUAAUUACUUUUGUACCUCAUAUACAUCAUAUCUUUAAAAAAAUACCAAAAAAGAGUACUGCAGGAACUUCUGAAUUUUGGAAGAGUUUCAAGUUUCUUCUCAACUUUGAUCAUCAAUUUGUUGAUUAAAAUUUAUAUAAUUAGUUGAUAUUUAAUAAGUAUCGGAUUUUUAUGAAACAUCUUAUCUAAUUAUCUGCCUUUUUAAAGCCCAAAUCUCACGGUAAGUGAAAAGAAAUUGUAAGACCUAAAACGUGGUGGUACCUUGUACGUAAGUGUGAAAAGCUAGCGGUACUAUUGAAUAAGAAGUGGAGACAACCAGUGGCAAUGGGGCAUGCAAUUAUACGUGGUAUUAGUACGACAAUUUCAACGGUUAACAGUGAAAAAAGGAAAGAUCCAGACUGACCUUGGGUAUAAUUUCAAAAACCCCCUUGAGGUUUUUCAUAAUUUCAAUGACCUCCCUUAAAAUUUGAAAAAUUAUGUUGAUCUUCCCUGACAGAAUAAAGGACCCAUUUGCUAACAUCACCUAACAUGAAAUUACUCAUGUAUCCCAACACAUAAUCUGAGACUAGAAACUAAAAUUUGAGAAUUAAGUAAUUAUGGCACAAAUCAAUUAAUUAAUGGUAUUAUCUGUGUUAAUAGCAUGAACAUUAAUGUGGAAUAUACAAAAUGGCGCAAAUUUGUUAGCAAUUGGUGUCAUUUUAUGAUUGACAGAACUUGACAUGACCAUAUUUCAAUCAUAUUCAAGAAAGGCUCCAGUAGAGCAAAGGAAGUACAGAGAAAAGAAAUAAAAAAACAAGUUUUUUUUAUAGCAUUUCCCCCCUUAAUUUAGAAACCAAACAAAUAGCCUUUGUAUUAAAGUACUUUCGUGGAAAUGGCCAAGAAAUGAGGUAGAAAAAAGGCAAAAUUAGAAAUUCUUUUCUAUGCAAAAUCACAAAAAACAUAGCCUAAAUUAGGUAAAUAAUCUCUACUGUUAUCAGUUUAAUAUUUAAAAGUUAUACUUUAAAUUGAAAAUCAUGAAAUUUUUUGAGACAAUCAUAACUGUAACACACCUUGACUGAUAAUUGUUUUUGCUAAUACAUCUUGACCAGAUGCAUAAAAGGGACAUUUGUGGAACAAAAUUUCCAUCUCUCUCCCGAAAGUAAAUUUUUUUAUUAUACUAGACUAAUUUUGUUACCAAAUCAUAACCUCAAAGGAGGUUAAUGUAAUUUGUCAAACUUCAGAGAAGAUCAACGAAAUUAUUAGAAACCUCAGGGGAGAGGUUUCUGAAAUUAUCUCCAGACCUUAUUAUACAAAAAACUGUACAAGUCCUUCACUCAAACUGCUAGGAAGACCACCUCCAAACAAAAAAAAAAAAAGCGAGGAAGACCAGGGACUUCAGAUUAUCUACUCAGAUUGAAGACAUUCACGUUUGAGCUUGUUGUUUCAGAAAUGCUCAUUGUAAUAAAAAAAAAAAAAUGCUCAUUUUGUCUGGCCACCAACGAAAAUUUAGGUUGUGUUUGGAUUGCAUUUUUCGUCAUUUUUCAUGGAAAAAUUACUGUAGUGAUUUGAUAUAUGUGAGGGAAAAAGGUGAUAGGAAAAUGUGAUCACGGAAAACGACAAUAUUUUCCGACGAAAACAAGCAAUCCAAACAAGGCAUUAGUCAAGUGGAAGUAAUUUGAUAAGUAAUUAUGAUUUUGGCAUACAUCAUGAGGAGAAAUGGAUUAAUUCUCAGUGUCAAGAGUACACUUUUUGUUUGGUGUGCUUGAGACUUUGCUCGUUAAGUGUAAAGUUCAUGUAUUGAUAUCAACACUUCACUCAGUCACUGUUGAGGAUAGCCCAUGUUACAGAACAACCACGUGCGCACAGACUAAGAUCAGAGCCAGUGGCAGUAGCAAUAGUGCCAGGCUAAUAGUACUUGUUUAGUGCUAGUCCCCAGGCCCUGUUUGUUUCAAAAGAGAGACAAGAAUGACAUAUGAAGCUGGAUGACAUGCCCUCUGUGGCUCUCUCCCGGCUUUUUGAAUCAAGAAAGGAUAUAUAGCUGGCGGCGAUGACCAUUACCAAACUUUCCCCCACAAUGUUUUUCGAUCAUGGCAACAAGUACUUCCGCAUGUAGCUGCCCCCAGGUAAGGAAAGGCUGUAUCGGGUGGGGUUUUGGUACGGCAAAAAAUUUAAAUUUAGCAGCUAAGAUCCAGUCGAGUUUAUGUUAUCUGAUUAAAGCCGUAAAUUAUACUUUGAUUGCAAAUGCACAGUUUCUACAAUUUAGACUGAGACACAUCUUUGGAGGUGUAUACAGGGUACUCAUUUCACAUUAUGAUUGAUUUUUUGAAGGAAAAAUAGGUGUAUGGCUUCAUCAUGGCCAAGAGUCUAACUGUUCAAACCCAAUCUCAAAAAAUAACGAGUGACAGAGGGAGUGAGAGAGCACAAUGAGCGUCACAUAUGUUCAAUUUUUCGAUUUAUAAAGAUGCAAUAAAGACAGGAUUUUUUGUUUUGCUGGUCCUUUCUGUAGGUCCAAAUAAAACUUGGCAAAUUUCUUUUAUAAAUUUCUAAACUAGAUUUAAAAUUUUUUUUAUGCAAAAAGAAUGAAGUUGUGAAUUUUCUUGUAUUAUUGCGGCAAUUUUGGUGCAAAUUAUCCCCUACCAUCCUUUGCAAAUAUGCACGUAUUAGUGAUUUUUUAAAAUCAAUCUAUCAAGUUUAUUUGAAUUUUUUAAUCACCUAACACGAGAUUCAAACUCCCAAUGUAAAUUUUCCGAUAUUUGAUGAUUGCAUUGAGUCUCAACUUUUCCAGAAUAUUGAGCAUUAUUAGAUCUAGAGAUAAUAUCGAGCCAAAUCGAAUUCGGGUAUUAUCAUACUCAAACUCGAACUUGAUGCUCUAUUGAUAUGCUCAAGCUCGAUGAAUAUUCCAAGUCGAGAUUGAGCUUGACUCGUUACAGUUCGAAAGAUUUUCAAAUUAUACCAGACUUGAGAACUCAAAUUUAAUAAAGAGUUAUGAAAUAUAUGAUAGCUAAAUACCGUAAAAAAUAAAUCUAAAUUAGCAAAUUGGGAAAUAAGAAUAUAAGAAUUAAACAUUUAAUGAAAAACUCAAUGGAGCUCGUUGAGCCGUGGAAUCUGCAAAAUCUGUCCUCAAAUUUGAUCAAUACCAAAUUCGAGUCGAGCAAUUGACCUAACUGCUCGUGAGUUCUAGUCAAGUUGCUUCAUUAAGUAUCACUCAUAAUUGGACCUCUUUCAUAGGUGGCUCUCCUAACAUUUUAUUUUUGCAAUGGGUAAAAAACUUGGGGUACUCCUAAACUAUCGCCAUUGCAACUUUUGGUUAUUUAUCUAAAUUUUGUUUUCGAUUGAUGUUUGAACAAUUAAAACUGCAUACUUUAAGGACCUUUGAUGACUUUAGACUUAAAUAUAGCUGGAUUUAAAGGACAUUUUUGUCUAUUCAUAAUUGAAGCAUCGAGACAAGUAUAAGAAACCCUAAAAGAGGUAACUCUUCAAUUUUUUUAAGCACACCAAUAGAUUUUUCUUCAUAAAUCAUUUAAAAAUUGAGUUUUAUCCAAAGGAUUUUGAUAGUGAAACUUUUAAAUGAUUGAAAAAAACACCACAUGCAAGGCAUGGUACAAGGAUUUUUUCUUACGAACGGACACAAAUGCCCUUUAAAUCAGGUCAAAUUAUACUUAAAGUCAUCAAAAAUCCUUAAAAUAUACAGUUUUAAUUGUUUAAUGAUCAAUUAAAAAUAAAAUUUAGAUAAAAGAGUCAAAAGUGGAUAACGGCGAUAAUUUAGUGGCUCCCCACAAUUUUUACUCUUUUACUAUUCGCAGAACGCGAAUUUGAGACCUUAACAUAGCUUUAAUAAGUUGAUUCAUUGAAUAUUCAUUUUUUGGACUGAUAAAUUGAUGAGGCCCAUAUCAUUCAUGAGAUGACACGAUAAGGAGCCGAAGGGCCAAGGAGAAGGGGGACCCUACAAACUCUGAAUACGCCCGGGAUACCCGCGCUACAAACGGUUGUGGGGUGGGGUGUCCUGUGGGUUUUCCAGUGAAUUUAUUUUUAUUAUUUAGGACUGUCUAUCAAAGCAAGUUCUGUUGAAAGAGAGAUUGGACGUUUCCAACGCAGACCAACAGGUACUUCUACAACUUAUGUAGCCCCAGCCUCACUUAUGCCCACAUUCACUUGUCACUCACUGUCCGUCUGACAAAACACUAUUCCAAUCUUUCUCUCCGUAUUGUGCCUCAGUUACUGCUAAUUCUAAUCUUAGGCAGAGUGUGUAAAGAUUAAUAAAUAAAUAUAUCCAAAGUUAAUCUUAUGUGUAUUGACACAGAUGAAAGACACUUCUGUAGUGUCAAUAUAUUAAAAAUUAAUCUAAAUAUAAAUGUGCAUAUGUUUAUUAUACAAUCGUAAAAUAUAUCACAUGUUUAGCAUUUUUCAAUUUUAAUCUUCAGCAUACAAUUGUGAUAAUAUAUAAACUAUCAGUGUAUAUAAGAUUAGUUCAAAUAUAAAUAUGUACAAAAUUUAUUAUACGAUGGUAAAAUCUAUCACAUUAUUUAGCAUUUUUCAAGUUUUAAUCUUUAAUAUAUAAUGUCAUUCAUGCAAUUGUGAUAGUGUAUAGAACAUUAGCUCAAAUAUAAAUGUGUACAUAUUUAUUAUACGAUCGUAACAUUAUCUAGCAUUUUUUCAAGUUUUAAAUUAGUCUACCUUACUGCUUCCCUUUAAAUUCAUUAAUUCCUGAUCAUAACAAUCCAACGUAUAACAAAUUUAACAGCGUUUACCUUUGGUGCUAUAUGUUUCUACCGUCAUUACAGUUGAUGCAAGUAAUGCCUAAAACCUAGAUUAAAAAAAAGAAGGGAACUGAUUUUUUUCACGGAAAUUGAUAUUGCCAAGAUUAGAUUUUAUUUUCAGCAGCAAUUUCCAUUAAAAUGAUAAAUUACUCUUUUAAAGUCCAUUCGAAAACAGCAAGUUUGGCAUUUUGUCUAAAAGUUGUGUUGUUGAAUCGAAAAAUAUCAAUAACAAAACGAACCUCCAAAGUUCAAAUUAUAACAAGUCCCAUGAAAAGCAACGUGCGCAGCAGUCUCAUUUCAUUCCCAAAUUUGAUUGAUUUGAUGAUUUGACGAGACAGUAAACCCACCAAAUUCGAAAAAGAACUAAUUAAAAGAAAGCAAGAACUAAAAAGAGAAUGAAAGUGUUUGAAAAGAGAGCAUUAUCUUUAGAUUCUUUAGAAUACAUUUGAAACUGGAUACUUCUUUGUAAACUCCGCAAUACAAAUACCCAAAGUGAACAAAAGCCUUCCGCACCGCUCUCAUUUAUUUAAGUAUCCAACAACGUUCCAAAAAGUUGACGAAUCUGAUAGUACAAAUCUAGCUGACUAAUCAUCUGCCUGCACAUAUUUUCCCCAAAGUCCAUAUUCAGACUGGCAAAUCAAACUAGCGUGUGGUGUGGUCUGCCUCCAGUUUUUUUUUUUUUUUUUUUUUUUUUGUGGAAAAUCAAACCCUACGGCCGGCCGGCUACUUCUAGUUCUUGGGGAGAAUUUCCAACAAAGAUAGGCAGGAAAUCGCGUUGCUGUUAAUUUGCAUGUGCAUGCAGCAACGAAGUUAGUAGGUGGAAACUGAAAAUAAAACAGUGCGUAGUUUCUUAUCGUGACAGAGAGGCACAGCCAAACAAAUUACUUACCUAAUUUGCGUCCACAAAAUGCCACUUCAUUAGCAAUAAUCUAUCUGAUUGCAAUCAUUAUCACCUUUUACUAGUCAAGAUAAUAAAAGAGGGUUAGUCGUUAAAUUACAUUUUUUUUAUCUCAUGGGAAUGCAAUGAACCACCACCGUGGAAGAUUAUUGGCGAUACCUCCAAAAAGUCUUUUGCUGCAGCCAAGCCAUGCAAGAAUAUUCAAAUGUUUAACACAGAAUAAAGUGGAACCCUUUUUUUUAAAAAUUUUUAUUUUUUAAUCCACUGUAAUUUUUGGUCAACUCGAUUCAGUUAGAUAAUUAAACCUACCUAGUCGCAACCUUUUUAUUUAGAUAUAGUUUAAUUUUUGUCUCUUAAAUAAUGAUGGUUUAAGCGACGUGGCAAGCAGUCAUAACAGCAAGAAUCCAAGGAAAUCUAUGAUGCUGUAUUGAAGAUCAAUAAUACUAGUCUAUAAGGUAAGAGGAGCUACGUGGAUUAUCAUGGUUCAUAUGAUUAUCUUCUUCCACUAAUUAUAUAGUAAUUGACGAUAAUCCUCCUUCCAGCUGCCAAGCAUUAUUAUUACUACGUAUCAAAGCUAAAGCGAGGACAACUGUCAUUCGCUUUAAGAUAAUUUGGUGACACAGUAAUUAAGAAAGUUACAGAAUCAUAUAAGUCAGUCAAAAAAGUAGCCUUUGCCUUUGCCUAAGGAAGGAAGAUUUGUUAAUCACAUCAGGUCUUGACAGGAAAGUUUAUCGUUUGUGGAAAAAAUUGGCUCCAAAAGUAAGAAUUAAAAUGUUUUAUCUUCCUGUUUGUUACACAGUUAGGACCAGUAAUUUCAAGACAUUCACCAUCAAUUUGUUGCUGCCCCCUUAGUCAACAGAAAAUUGAGGGGUCAGUCCUCGUGGUAUAGAAUCACAUAUAUUAUUGAAAUCUAUUUUGUGCAUUAUAUCUAUCUGUCUAUCUUCUGCAGUGCAGUUCGUUCCUUCUUCUUCUUCUUUUUAUUUUUUUUUUCUUGACAAAAUUCAUCAUGUUUAUCUUCUUCUUCUGCAGCUAUAUGUUACAUAAGAGCAAAGAAUUAUUGUCUUAUUUCGAACUGAGGUUAUUAAUUUCAAUUAAUUUUUUAUAUAUCGACAGUGUAUAAUUACUGAACAUAAAUGCAUGUUAUAUACACACAAAAUCAAAAUUCAAAUUAGAAUUAAAUGACACGCAAUCAAUCGUGCAUUGUAUAUAUAUAUAUAUAUACAAAGAUUAACCUGAUUAUCAAUGCAUCGACCUCUGUGGAUGUUGAGUGACGUGAGGCACCCACAAUUUGACUUUCUUGGGAGCAGGUCAUGGCAAGAGAUCGGAUCCUCAAAAUGAUCCUAUCCUCUCAUCCCAGAGAAAUUCGUGGUUUGGAUGGAUGAACUGAAUCCCGAGUAUCCUUUAUUAAAUAUACGAAUCUUUGUGAAAUGAAGCAAAAGCUUAAGCAAUGAUUCUUUUGGAACUGCAUGAAAAUCUUUGUAAACUCAAGGCAACCAAUUGGGCAUGCAGUGUGCUGAAUGAAACAAGGAUCACGAAGAAAUUGAAUUAGAUGAGAUUAUAUUAUUACUACUAAUCCAUAAUGCUCCACUUAACUUUUUGAUAAUCUGUUCGCCAUCCAACUCAACACUUGGAAAGUGCGUAAUUAGAACCAAUUGGCCCUAAUGACGGCCAAUAUCUCAACCAAGAGAAUCUUAAUAAGUAGCGUUGUAUGAUUUAAAUAUACAAAUUGAGUCAUAUUUUAAGUACAUAUAGACACUUAGUCCGACGAAGAAUUGUCUGGCUUUUCCCCCAAUUCCAAGUCAUGGUAACAGUAGUGUAGAUUAUUUUUGGCCAAUGACUUUUAGAUGUCAAUUCUUGUACUAAGUGUGAUGUGCCUCAAAUUUUAUUUUAUUUACCAUAAUUUUUUUUUUAAAAAAAUAAUGUUGGUAUGUCGCAAAGCAAGUUAAAGGGGAUGGUAAUCUACUUUUUUGUCCUUUUUCGGUUUUAUUACAAUAUUCUUUUGUUUAAAAAAAUGUCAAAUAUCAUAGCCUCAAAUGGAAUGUUUACACGUGAAAUUGAUGGACUGAUGUUCAAAGAUUAUCUUGAAGGCGGUGCACCUGAUUGGAAUGUCAGUCCCCCGAUGAUUCGAUAUUCAAUUUCACAUCAUAAUAUUUGAUCUCUUUUUUUUUUUUUCACUUGGGAUACGGUGUUGACACUUGACAUCCUACUCCCAUUGAAUUUCCUUGAUCCAUUCGAAAAAGAAAGAAGUUUCAUUGAUCCAAAUUGAGAAAACAAAAGGCUUUCAUUGAGUCAAAAGUUGUUAGGUUCUACGUGACAGCGUUUGUCUUGAUUCUUAAAUUUUUCUCUUCAUCCGGCAUCUGUAAUCUCAAGUUAAAAGUAUUAAAACUGGUGUCAGUCAAGUCAAGUGGUUCCAAAAUUGGAAGCUGAUAAAAUUCAACCUCUGUUUCCAGCAUCAACAAAAAUAUUACUACGUACCAGGUAUAGCGGUGCAAUGGUAUCACUACCGAGAGAGAGCUAAAGCAGCUGUAUACUACCAUCCACCACUACUUGCUAGACCCUGGAAUUGCAUGCUGAUAACUAAGAAAAAUCCCUUUUGUUUUGUUUUUAUGAGAGAUUCUUAUUUUUUUUUUUAUAUAAAAAAAAAAACAAUGGGCAAUAAAAGAGUGUAAAGAAUGAAAUCAAAGAUUCUGCAAUCACCUUAUUAAUUAAUAUCCUACCAAGUAAGUAAUAUAAAGCAAGUCGAUCUUUAGUCUACUACUCGGUAAACAAUUAUUGGAAGCCCCUUUCUAAGGUUGAUAUUGGCGGUGACUUAUGCAGCAUGGUUUAUUGGUUGAUUGUUCAGCCUGCAUCCACUCCCAAAGCCCCACGAGGCCAUGAAUGAUCAGACUUUUUUUUUUUUUUUUGAUAAUAAUAAUAUGACUGAUCAGACUUGUUGAGAGGGUAUCCUAGUCCUAGUAUAUAUCUAACAUGGGCAAAAGAGCAGUAGUAGGUGUUAGAAACUAACUGUUAAUGAAUGAAUGCUGCAUGGAAAGUUAUACUAUAAUUUAUUAGUAAUCACACAUCUGUGUCAUAUCAUACGCUAACAGUAGUAGAUAGAAAUACUGCGCAUCCAACCCAAUGGCAAAAGGCAGAGUGUUGGAGAAGGAGGGACGCAUGGUCUGAGACCAGAGAAAUCUGAGAUUGGUUGGAGGGGUUUUAAAAGGAGGGACCCAAAUGAAGGGUGUCGUAUGGUUCAGGGCGCGCGAAAACAGCGCGGGAGCUGUUUCCCGAUGCGCAGAACAUAGACACAUCAUUCAUCAUCCUCCUCCUCCUCCUCCUCCUCACGCUCAAUACUCACUCACUGUCCUUUUAACUUUGUCAUCAGUCACCACCACCACUCUUAUGAGUCUUAUCUCUCUGUUUCUCUCUCUCUCUCUUACACACACACACAGAGAUUUGUGUGAACCAGUUUCAUUUUGCGCCCCUGAACUUGUAUCACAUUUUUAUUUCGCACUCUAUAUUUUAGAUAAUUUAUGUUCCGACUUCUUAGAUUUAUCCCACUCAAAUCCAACUGAUAAUAUCAGCAGUAUUAAUUGUUAGCAAACUAGAGGACCGUACAAAUGUAUGAUAAUAAUUUUUUAAAAGUGAUCAGAAUGAGCAAAAGGAUCACAACUAGAACAAAAUGAUGAAUUGUAAUAUGUAUACAGCACAAGCUUAGAGGUGCGAAGUGAUCUUUAUUCCUGUGUAUGUAUUUUUUUAUCCAAAGAAGACUCCAAACUUUGACGUAGAGAAGAGGGAAAGGGAAAUGUUUGAGGGUCCAAUGAGAAGUCUCGAGUCCUCCUGAUUAAUGUCUCUUUAAGUUGAGUCUUGAGAACAGAUGUACAUACCAUCUCUAGUAUUUAUUCUUUUAUUUUAAACUUUUUGAGAUAUUAUUGAUUCUAUAUUUGUAUAUAAUGGAUUCCAUCUCCGUCGUCCCAACCAAUAACACAUUAAUUAACUCGAAUCUUCCUUUGAUUCUUCAUACAUAUAUUCUUUUACUCAUUUGAUUACAACUCUCAUGUGAAAUACAAGGGAAGUAACUAAGUUGCUUAAUCAAUUAGGAAUCGUUUCACAAUUAACUAAAAUCAAGCUUGGUAUGUUGCUGAAUAAUUUCAUCGGGAUACUAAAAUGUUAGUGUAACCUAUCUAAGUUGACAUGCAUAAACGUACUACUUCCCUCAAUUAUAAAAUACAAAUCUACGCAUGCCCGUAAUUCUAUUGACAACAGAGUUCACGUGAAAUCUCUUUUUCCCCCCUUUUCAAGAAGAUUUCAAGCUUUACAUGAAAAAGAAAAGUUUGAUAAUCGAACCAAAAACAUCAUGAUCAUUUGAUUAAUGUCUCUGUCAAUUGAAUUGAGUACUCAAAUGUGAAAAUUAUAAAUUAUACUAAAAAAAUAAAAUUUGGUGGGCUUAUCAAUAAAAGUACGUAACUUUUAUUAAUCCAAUAGGACACAUGAAAAUUUAUUUAUUUAUUUAAAAAAAAAACUAAAAGUAUAUAACUUUAAUUAAUAUCCAAUAGGAGUUGUGAAAAUUAAAAACUUUUGAUCCAAGCCAGUUGGUGCUAGUGCGGAGGAGGUCCGGCAGGCAAGGAUGCCAUGUAGCCAUGUGAGAGUAGGGUCAGAGGAACCAGGGUACAAGAGACACGGAUGAGACUGUGCCUGGACAAGGUAAAAUGGGGUCCUAUCAUACCAGCAGAUGGUGGGAGUCUAUCAAUGGAUGUGAUUUGUAGGUCCUUCCCAUGUCUUUCUCAGGAGUCCAUGGGACCCUUGCAAAUUGCAAAGGUGUCAAAUGAUUGUUGAUAACAAUAUAACAUAAUAUGCUCCGUGUGGGGAACUUAGGCUGGAGAUCCAACUCUGUCCAUCUCCCCAUUUCCCAUACUGUUUUUAGUUAAAUCCUUAAUAAUACCUUUGCUUUUUGGAGCUGCUUAAUCACUCAUCACAUUUGUCCCAAUACUAUAUUUUGCAGCCUCCAAACGCCAUCAGAUCAUGAUUGUAAAAAAUACUAGCUGUUAGCAAUUAAGAAGGCAGUGUUAAUUGAUUCGCCAUGAAGCUCUCUUACUUGAUCACAGUAGUUCAGCCUUUAAGGGGACUGAUUAGAUGGAUAGCUUCUUCGGUCCGUUUAUUUUUAAACCACGUCUUUGGACCACCUAAACCCAAGCAGAAUCUUCAGAUAAUCAGACCACAAGCGUCUAAUCUUGCUCGCUCAUUUGUGUACUGUCACUAGAUACUAAGAUGGUCGACAAACAAAUGCCGCUGUUCACACCUUCGAAGCAUAUGAUUUGUACAAGUUCAUGGUGUAAUUAUUGAACGACGCUACUGUACAGCUAGUUUCUUGAAUUUUCGAGCUAAGUUUUUAAGUGGUGCACCCUCGCAUUAUUAUAUCCACGAUUUGACCAAACGCUCAGAAGAAAGCAUAUUCUAGAGAUUACAUUACACACCCUUCUUACAUUAAUCACGAAUAAACUAAACCCCAUCUUUGACGUGUUCUAAUGAAGUCAUAUUGUGGAUUAUAAGGUUUCGGGUCAGUUUGGUAAUCCUUCAUCUGACCUGAACUGGCUAGAAUGUUGGCAGAUAUGACCCUUCUCCCCAUACAGUCCAAGUAUUUUUCCUAUACAGCAAGAAAAUUUUGUUAAGCCUCAUGCAUGGAUCAAGUAUUCGGUGGAGAUCAGGAGAUGACGCUACAAUUAGAUAUAUGAUUAAUGAGACGUUCGGCAAAUUCUGGGCCUGAGCUUUGUGGCCCUAGUCCCAUGUUUGUAAUGAAUUCUUGCAAAUGUUGUAAGCAUCAACCAUCCAUCGCUUUCAACUUUCAAGACAAUUUCAGGAUAGUUAUGUCUCCAUCAUAGAGAAAUACUGCACUUCUUGGCCCAACAGACGCCCAUAAUCAUUAUAUAGGAGAACGGGUUACAUGGAUUGGAGGACACUGCCAAUAUCUUUAUCCAAGGUUUCCUUUCGGUUAUGUACUGGACCAGGUCCAGGGUCGGAACAAUACCUCCUGCAACAAAAUAAUUAAGCUGAAGGUAUAGCCUGCUCCAGCAAAAAUGUAUUAGCUUAACCUGUCAAUACCAUUUACUAUUAACCAACAGAAAUUCCACAGUUAGCACUUAAUGAGGUGGCUUCUGCUGUUCCUGGUACUUUGAGAGCCAUGAAAACAUAUUGCAGCGUUGAGGAUGGAUUUAAGAUUUAGUCUCUUAAAAUGAUUCUUGAUUAGGCAGGAGAUGUUCUUCUUUACAACAGGCACGCGAUUCUGGCAAAAUGUGACCCCCAGAUCCUUGCCUAGUCUACUUGAUAUUCUCGACGAGAACUAGCUAAGUAAUUUUGAUGGAAUGAAACUGUGAUCGUGCUAAAAAAGAAAGAGGAAAAGAUAGAUCUUUACUCAUUUAUUUGACUGUAAAAAGUAGGAACAGAAGCAACAUGUCAAACCUUUGCAAAAGGAACAUUUACAACCAUUUACAGACAGCAAGACCACCACCACAUUUUUGUACUUUACACCACAGUAUUACAGUAUUACAAACACAAGCAGUCGUUAUCUUAAUUGUCUGAAUUAGUAAACUAUAGGUCUAUGGAUAUUAUCAGCGGUUCCUCGCCCUUGUCAACAGCAAAUGUCUUGAUGACUUUUCCUUUGGUGCUGAAAAUUUCCACUUGAUAUGAUCCCUGAAAUCCUCUGAAGGAGAAUUGUCCCUGUUCAUCAAUAUGGCCGUGAGCAUGGGACAACCACUCCUCCUUAAGGGCAAGAUAUCUCCGACCCGCUUCAUUUAGGUCACCUUCUGCAUUCACUAGAUGAGAGUUUUCCCUGCUCGUGAACAGUUCCCAGAAUCCCCACAACAUAACACCAUCUACUGCUGGAUGAGCAAAAGCUUCCCGAAGCAUUACUUCCAAAUCGUCGGCCCUAAUGUGCUCGUUGUCAGAAGACACAUCAAGUUCCGUGAACCAGAUUGGAAGCCCAAGAAUACCUAAAUCAUUAAGUGCAGAGCAGACAACAGGUCCCACUGGACUAUCUAUAUGCCCCUGAAUACCUAUUCCUCCAACAGGUGCACCCUGCUCCUGGAGGUCAAGUAUGUGCUCUAUGUACUUUUCUGGCGAUGACCGGGUGUCGCAACCAUCCUCGACAUGGUAAUCAUUCACAAAUAGGAUAGCAGAUGGGUCUAGUUGGUUUGCAGUCUUGAACAUGUCUGCCCGGAUGUCUUUGCCCAACCGGUCUUGAUAGAAUGAGCCAUGCAUCAUCUCAUUGUUCACAUCAUAGUGUCGGAAUUUACCCUUGUAGCGUGUAAGAAGCCCUGUAAGACGGUUUUGAACGGCAGUCUUCAAGUCACUUUGACUCAAAUUGCGUAUCCAUUGCUGAACUGUGUUCUCAACCUCCCAGAAGAUGCAAUGCCCACGGACUUGAAUGUUGUGGCUGGUACAGAGGUUCAAGAGUUCAUCGGCAUCCUUAUAAUUAAAGUUUCCUUGCUGUGCUUCCGUCCAAUACCACUUCAGUUCAUUUCCAAAGACUGCCCAAUUAAAAUGUUUGACAAAGAAAUCAACAAAGUCUUCAUUGUCCAUAUUUGUUCUCAUCAAACAUGAUCCCAAGGGAAAGCUGUUUUGAGUUUGUUUUACUCUGAUUAAGGUACCAAGCAAACUGCCAGAAUCUGAUCCUGAUAAUUUCAAGAUGAUGUCACGCUUUCGUAUCUGCAUUUUAGCAAAAGAUUUAGUUGGUAGUCUUUAAGGGAUCUGAUAAUAACACAUUCACCAAAUUCAACAUAACCAUUGGUAUUUUAAUGCAGUAAGGUAAAGCAUAAAGCAAAUUAAGAUGUGAGACAACACGAUGUCAGAACAAGAACCAAGUAUCUUUUGCUUGUGUUAGUGUGACCCAAUAAGUUUGGCCAAACGAUUCAUUGAAUAUAUGACAAAAAUUCAGUAAAAUCAUUUGCUCAUAAGAAGAAAGCUUUAUCUCAGAAAGCUUGUAAAAUGCAUUUUAAGGAAAGAACAUAUGGAGAUAUGUCUGAUUAGACACGUAGUGAUCACCCUGUGGCUACUAUACAUCAAUACAUGUAGAAAAUAAAGAAAAGCAGAAGAAAAAUGUACCUUAUCUGUUUGUCUCCUCAAGGAUUUAAACCUGGCAUGCCUGUCAACUGGAAAUAUUUGCAGUCCAGCAACCAUGAAGUCAAUGCCCGAAGCAGGACCCUGAACAUAAACCAUCACCUUAGCAGGUUGUUUUUCAAUUCUAAAUGACCCACCAAUUUCAUGCCAUCUAUCAUCACGAAUCUCAACUUGUCCGCCGUUAACCCAUUGGUCAUCCACACCAAGAGCAACGUUCACACUCUGGGGGCUAGUAGGGCCAGGAGCAAUUCGAAUCCACCCGGAUACUUGAUAUGUCACGUAGAGUUUUACUUUGUCAGUAAUCAUCUGAGCAGGACCCAUCCAUGUUUGGGUGCGUUUUGUCACAAGGAUGUAGCGACCACUUAGUGGCUGAUGAGCUCCAAGAGAAUCUCUAGCCAUGGGAGGAAUUAUAUGUGGUGAGCCAGUUCCAACGCUAAGAGUGCAGUUGCCAAGUGGAAACCACCCAUUUGUGCCAUCAUUAAGGUCACUGUUGGCAAUGAUAUUAACACCGAAAGCUACAUCCUGAAAACAUUAAUGAAAUUAGCAUGCAAAACAUAACACAAUUGAGAAGGCAUGCAGAAGAUUUCUUCUUGACUAACAUAAUUCAAGAAAAAGGAUGUAAAAUAUGAAAUAUUUUCGCAUCAUGGAUGUGAACUGGAAACACCACAUCACAGGACCUAUUCAACCAACCUCGAUUACCGGAGGAGGUGAAGGAGGUACUUUAGCCGCAUGUUUUACCACCAAGCUAUUAAGAAGGAUAUCAGUGCCCGGAGGUGGACCUUCUAAGUAAAUCACUACUCUCGAUGGCGAACCAUUAAGAAGAAAUUUUCCUUGCAUCUGCACCCAAUCCUUGUCUGUUGCCUUCACUCUGCAGGUCAUUCAUUUAGCAUAUUUUUCGGAUAAUGUCCAUACAUGAUAUCUUUUCUGAUGAAUACUACAAGUCUACUAAAAAUGUUCAAGCAUAUACUAAAAAUGUUCACACAACCAAGAACAUUAGGCCUCAUGCAGGAUAAUGCCCUUCAGAUCAAUUCGUUGUAUCAAUAUGAGACCUAAAAUAACAUAUCAAGGAAGAUGAAGUUCCAUUCUAUAAUAACUAUUGAAGUAAUUGAUGCUCAUCUCAUUGCUUUGUCAAGCAUACUGUAUGUGCACCAACACAUUUUUAAAUAUGAUCAGUCAAAAUACUAAAUUAAAGUUUUCGGUAGUAAUAUGUCCAUUGCAGCAGUAUCUUUUAAGUACACUAGUAAGACAUCCCGCCUCACUGGUUGUUUUAACAUGAUAUGGUGUAUAACCCAUAUAGCUGCAAAAUAAAAAUAAGAAGGGAAAACUUCUUUUUAAGGAUUGAUCCUCACAAAAGGAUAAUCUUCUCCCAGAAAAGCACAUCUUCAACAAAGAUCACUAGCUUUUAAAGAUAAACUUCAGCUGAUUAUUUGCUAAGUAUAAUGACAUCCUCUGCUCCACUUUACCAUGGAACAAAAGAAAUCAGAUAUGGCAAGCACAAACUUACUUUGCAAUGCCUAUGUACUGCUCGCGCAUGUCUGCAGCCUGAACCCACAAUGUCGCCUGAACAUCUGCAUUGGUUAUAUUGUUACCAUAUAUGCGAACUACUGCACUAACCUCAUAAGCAAGCUUCCGGUUUACUUUCCCUGUUAUCUCCUGCUGAAUGCCAUUCCAGCUCUGAGUACGUUCUGUAGCAGAUGCAAACAAUUUCCCAGAUUGUGGAACAAUUUUGCCAUCUGCCAUUGUGUCAUGCAAAACAACCUUGCAGCCUCUACCAGACCAACCAUUAAGACCAUCGUCAAACUUCCAAUUUGUUAUGAUGUUCUCUUCUUCAAACAAUGGAGAUCCUUUGCUCUGGCUCUGUCAAGUAACAAGUCCUUGUCAGUAACUUGAGCUGAUUGCAGAAGCAAUGGACACAUUUACUAUCCUUAAACACACAAAUACAGCUGUCCUUCACGCCAUCAUACUAAUCAUUUAUCCUACUAUUGGCUAGUUCUCAAUGAAAUGCAAAAUUCCUAGAAGAAGUGUCGUGGGAGAAUCAGAUAAACUUACAUUACACCAACUGGAGCUAGAACAAGAGACUACUACUGAUUCUAUAAGCAGGUCCACACCGGGUAAAGGCCCUUCCAGAUAAAAUAUCACCCUAUCAGGCAUUGUCGACAGCAAGAAUGUGCCUUCUAAAUUCUCCCAGCAAUCUUUCGAAACAGACCUUCUGCACAAGGACACUGCCAUCAGAGCAAUGGCUCUAAAAAUAAAACAGGGCAACUAAUCUAUGAGAAAGAGAAAUGUAUUGCCUUCCAAUGAACAAGUAGCUAGUAUCCAUGUUCCUGUAUUCCAGUUUUAAUGUUGCUAGGACAUCAGCAUAUCCCUGAAGAGCACCUGAUACACCAACACGUGCAGACACCAUAUAUGUGGAACCAGUAGAGACUUGGCUUGUUAUAUCUUGCUCCAAGCCUUGCCAAGGUUCCUUCCGGUUUGUAAUGACAGCAUAAGUGCCAGGUUUGGGCGAGUUUCCUUCAAUGCUACUUGAGUAAGCUGAGAUCACAUAGGCCUCACAACAAUUCGGAUGCCAUGAAUGAAGCCCCCUAGAGAAGUCAUGGUUAUGGAUGAUAUUAAUAUCAGAACUGUUCCUCAUAGUCCUCACAUUUUCCUCUAAAUUCUGCAGUCAGAAAUUCAUAAUGUAUAUAUUAGGAUGUAUUUGUGCAAGCUAAUACAUAAAACUCAACAGAUAAAAAGGUUCCAUCGCAAUUCACUGUCAUAUGAUCUCACAAAAGAAGGAAAACGAAAGGGUAACUCUCUUAACAUAUAACUUUGUUUGACUACACAAGUACAGGGUGUUACAUCCAGAUGAUUAUUAACCACCAAGGCAGCAGCUCCUUUUGCAUCCAAAUUCAUAAUGCCUCUUGAAGCAAAACAAGGUGGCCAUGUAAACCACGAAUAAUUUAGAAUAAAUGAAUGUUCAGGAAAUGUUCCUUACCUACCUGGUACCCCUAAUAGUUCUUGGAGUCAUUGACAACAUUAGCUCAAAACUAGCACUCUGUAGUUGCUCAAUUCUUGCACUACUUAUCAAAACAAAUAUGAUGCAUUGUCACGGAUAUCAUUGACAACAUUAGCUAAAAAAUGGCACUCUGUAGCCAUUCACUCAAAAUUAGCAGCUGACGUUCUUAUAACAAAUUGAGUUUUUAGUCAGCAUAAUACUCAACAAUUCAGUUCUCAAGUGUACAACUCUCUGGCCACCAGCUCCCACGCCCCGGUCACCAAGCUCUCCAAAAUCCACCAAAUAAGUAUAAUAAUAGUGCACAAAGUUUGUUUAUUAAGAAUAUGAGUUUAUCAUAUGUACACUAACAGUACAUACACUAUUGUGGAUAGAUGUACAUACAUAAGCAAAAUUUGGAUUGAUGUACAACAUAAGAAUGUGACUUUCUUUGUGUGUCAAAGGGAGACUCAUCAAUUGAUCCAAGUCUGAGAAUUAGGAGCUACUAACAAACAACAAUUACUUAAACAAUUAAUAAUGCCCAUCGGUCCAGAGCGAUCCUUCAAAAUUGAAAUGAGGUCGGCAGAAAAUUUAAUAAACGAAGGAACAAGAGAAAAGCUUUAAGGUAAGCAAUGCAUACCUCAGAUUGGAACGCAUUAUUGGCAUUGCCCUCUGAUGGGUUCUCCAUAUCUACUUUCGAACUCUAAAACCCAUUAAGCAAGAUCACUAAACCACACCAAAAAUAUCAGACAAAGAUAGACUUCUAAGAAAAAUUUCAGUACCUGCGAGGGACUGUUCUCCGAAAAUUGCUUCGGAAUUCGACGUCUGAAGCAGCAACACAGCCGCUUCAUUAUAUACAGAUACAAACUACUGUAUGUUCGGAAGUUUUAUAAGUGAAGUCAUCGGAUAUGGCGGGACCAACUAAACCUACCGACCAAUCAGAAGUCUUCUGCCUUCUAACUGUUUGAUAUCUUGUCCCAAUAAUCUAGACAGCCAGCAUUGCAGGAACAUUUGUUCUAGGACAUUUUCUUUCUGCAUUUUAAAAAUGGGUUUCUCUUGUUCCUCUUGAUUUUCCAGAUUUUUUCAUUAAAUUGUGUACAAGUUGGAGUUGGCGGGGGAUUUCUUUGUCUUGCAGACUGGGUUGGCCAAUUGCAAUUUUGAAUGCUUGAAUUGAAAUAGAAGAUUACCGGUUUUAGGGAUGCUGUGUUCUAUAAGUAAAAUCAUAUCAUCGAUACCUUUCUUUGUCAACGGGUCUCUAGGUCUUUGAUUACAAGUCAGAUUUCAUUCUUAACAAGUUGCAGGUUAGGUGAAAUCUGGCUUUUCUUGCGAUGCGUGCUGUUGAGUCUGUUCCUUUAACUGAUUAUUAAGAGCCCACAUCUUUCAAGUUUCAAGUUUUAGGUCUUUAAGCUUUUUUUUGGGUAAUGAAAACAUUUACUAGUCUAUCCUAGAGUCCACAUCUUUCAAGUUUUAAGUCUCAUUUUUUUCGAUAACAAUGUGUAUUCUAUAGCAUUUAUAUAAUAUAAUAUAAUAUAUCAUAUUCUACCGGAAUGGGAAUCUAAAGAGGUUGUAUAGUGGGUUAGCAAGUAUACAGAUCUGACUAAAUUAAAGAGUUAUUCUGACACUUCUUUUAGAUUUUUUUCACUGCAGUUGGAGUUCGAACCUUUGGCUCACAGUCCAAAGAGGGAUUUAGUCCCUUUUUUAUAACCACUGAACUUUGUUUUUUCAAGUUUUAGGUCUCAUACCUGACGUUAAAAUUCUACCAAUCCAUCUAACUUGCAUCUUUCACUAAAAAUAAAAUUUUAAAUUUUAAAUAUAAAACAUGUCAUGAUGAAUAGUAGAAAAUACAAGACAGUGAAAGAGCGCAAUUUUAUGUUACCUAGACCAGACAAUCAAAAAUUGACACAGAUAAAGAUGAAUAAGCCUGAUUAAAGAUAAUGCACUUGCAAGUCACUUUGUUGCAUCUAUAUGAGAAGACAUAGGAUGAAAACUCAAAGCACAUGCCAAGUAAUUGAAGACCACUGUAUAUCACUUUCUUCAUGCAAAUGAACGGGUUUUUUUUGUUUUAAUGUGCAUGAGCAUGUCAAAGAAUUGCCAACAAAAUUUUUUAUUUUAACCAGUCAACUCCUUAUCUAUUUUCAUGUGAAUAAACCCACGAAACAGGUCUACUUCACAUGAAGGAGAUUGUCAAUUGGGUGAAUAUGGUGUAUAACCUGUAUUAAAGAGAAACAAAAAAAAAAUGAAGCUAAUUAAGGAUCUUCCUCCAAAUGAUUGAGCCUUAACAAAGGAAGACUUUUUCCUCCAAGUAAUUAAGCAUGCCUUGACUCUUGGAUGAGACCAUUAGCUUUUCAAAUUCAUAUUUAACGAUUGCAACUCGUGCUAUACAUUAUACAGACCUCUUGUAUGCUGCAUUUCAAACUACAAGAAAAAGUAUCAGACAUGGCAGGCGAUAACUUACCUCGCAAGCCCAAUGUAAUGCUCGCGCUGAUCAUCUGCAGCCUGAAUUAACAAUGUUGCACGAACCUCUGCAUCAGCCCCAUUGUUACCAAAUACAGAAACUACAGCUACAACCUGAUAAGCAAGCUUUCGCUGUACUUUGCCUGUAAUGUCCCGCUGAAUGCCGUUCCAGCUACCAGUGCGAUUCGUAGCAGAUGCAAAGAACUUGCCAGACGGAGGAACAAUUUUGGCUUCAUGCAAAACAAUCUGGCAGCCUCUUCCAGACCAAUUGUUAAGGCCAUCGUCAAAGUUGGGAUUGGAUAUGAUGUUCUCAUCUUCAGAGAAAGCAGGUUCUUUGCUCUGGCUCUGUCAAGUAAUAAGUCCUUGUCAUUAAUAUGGGCUGAUUUUCCAUCCACUGUACUAGUAAGUUGUCUUGUUUUUUUGACAAGCUGAAUAGGUGCUUAGUACUGUACAGCCCGAGUAACAUAUUGAUAUCUCCUGAUUGUACACUAGAAUGGUGACAAUUGCUCCAAAUUAGAGCAUACAGUAGUUAUUGUCUAUGGUGGUUAAACUAUUUAAAAUUCCUCAUUUUGGUAACUAAACUUUUUCGUUAAUCAAAAUGGUCACCGUCAUUCUUCAACUUAAAAACGUAAUUUUUUUUGUCACUCAACUAAUAAAACUGUACAUUGUUUGGUUGAACGGCUAAUCGAUAUAUGCUUUUAAUUAGCCGAAUGACUAUUUCGUCAGUGACCGAGAUAUAAAAUUUUAAAUACUUUAGUGACCAUAUGUACCAUUUGCUUUACAAAUUAAAUGUAGCAUUUCUCCAGCUGUUGGACUAUUUCAAUGAACUUUGCUAGAAUAUGGACUGUAAGCCUGAAUGCUAAAACAAUGUAAGCAAACCAUCUGAUAAUCAACCACAUUGUUUCUUUGUUCAGUAUAAGAUGAAAAUCAGGCCAAUAGAAAAUCCCAGCCGGAGGAAAACUCACAAGGAAAAUCUCCGAUGUCUGAUCAGGUUGAUCAAAGCCAUCACGGUGGACAUUGCUCGUUGAUGGGUUCUCCAUAUGCCCUCCCGAAAAUUUGGAUAAUAAGAUAAACAAGCAGCCUUAAUACUACAAACUCUGAAGACUCGCACAUACCUGCAAAUCAAUGACUCUGCUGUGAAAAGUGCUCGAAGAAUCUAAGACUCGGCGUAAGAAGCAACAUGCAGGAGGGCGAUUCAUUUAUAGCUAGCCGUGAUGAAGAUUGUUGGAGGGUUUGGAAGUUUUGCAAGUUAACUAGACGCCAAGCGCGGGAUGUCACAUGCAACUCUUUGCUGUUUUCGACAUUUUGUCUCGGAAAUCCAAGAACCGUGCAUGACAGCAGUAGGUUUAUUCUUUAUACAAAUAUGUUAUCCAUUGAUUCUACAAUGCCCUUGGAUGAAGAUCUUGCAUGCAACUCUUUGCUGUUUUUAUCUUGGUAAUCCAAAGACGGAGCAUCCAUCACAGCAUAUAUUUUUAGUACAAAUAUCUUUUGUCCAAGAUCUUGCGAGGACAAAACACAAGAAAGUUGAGACCCAAUAGAUAAGUCCAAACUCAUAUUUCACUUCAAAAUUUUAAGUUAUAAGAGGUCUUGAAUCUUUACCUAUGUAUUAAGUACUCGUUUUUCCUUUCCCAAACUAAUGCGGGACAAAUAUCUUACUCACAAACCUAGCAUUUUUGUUUCUUUGGUUCUCCUGACUUGCAAAUUUGCAAAUUUAGUUUCCAAAAUUGGUUUUUUUUUUCCCUUCAUCUCUUCCACUUGGGCUUAAAUUGGACUGAAAAAUUCAUUAACUUUUGGGAUCCUUUGAUAGCAUUACUUUGGCUUGGUUUUGGAUGUAGCAGAUGAUUUCUGAAUAGUUAGCUUAGUGCAGUGCUACGGUGCCGUAAAGAAGCCUAUGAUAGUUUGCCAUUGUUUGAAGUUAAAUCAACCAAUGAGCAUAUUUCAAGGAGUCGAAUCAGCCUUGAGAAGAUAAAUUCUUUCAUAAUCUAUAUAUUAUUAAGAAAAUGUUUAGUAUUAAUUAAAAAAAAAAAGAAUAUGUGUAGUAUUUUUCUUCUUUGUGACGGCUGUUAUUGGCUUGAGCCUGAUGUGGCAAAUUUAGGAUUGGGAUUCCAAGGUUUCUAGACGUGGUCAUGACCUUCAAUAUGGUAAAAAGUAAACCAAGGAAGGAGAAUCUAAGGGGUUUGGAUUAUGAAUUUUCGCCAAAAAAUUUUGGGAACAUUCCUAUCACGCAUUCUUAAUUAUUUUUUCAAAUUACAUACAUCGUCUCAUCAUUGUAUUUUUUAUAUAAACUUCAAAAACUUAUAAUCCAAACGGAAAAUUUUAGUUAUACCAAUUUAGAUAAAACUAAAAUAAUUGCAAAAGUACAUUAGGCUACAAGGCAGUUUUUGCACUUUUGCACAGGAUUUUAUAUGCUUACUUCUUGUACAUUUUACAUGUGGAAAAGUCUGAAGUAACGAUAGUUAUGGUAACGAAACUAUUUUUACCUGAUAUAACAGGUAAAAAUACUUUUAGCGACCAUUUGAUUACCUGUUGUACUGGUCAUCUAAACAAGAUAAUGCCUAAAAUUUUGGGUAGUAAGUUUCGCAUUAAAAAUAGUAAGUUAUCCUUAUAAAUUAGUAACUUUUAUGUCUCAAAAAGUAAACUUGAAUAAAUAUGGAACUAACCUUUUUUUUUGAAGUAAAAUACUACUCUAUAUCUGAUACUUAGUUUUUGGAGAGUUAAUUUAGUUCAAGUAAUAGUAAGUUUUUAUAGAUUAAUAGUAAAUAUUGUUGAUAGAAUAGUAAAUUUGGUUAAUCAUCAAAACUUAAUAGUUUGUGGCAUAAAUUUACUAUUUUACUUAAAGAAACUUACAAUUGUACGUAUCAUUUAUAAAUGUUAUAUGUUCGAAGCAUUUUAAAUAUACUAUGAAAACUUUUUUUUUUGCAUAUGACCUUAUAAAAUAUGUAAGAAUAAUUUGUCAUAUUUUAAAUUUUUAAUUAUGGGAAAAUAAACAACUAAGUUCCCAAAAUAUUUCACUUUUAUUGUUUAAAAAAUGUCAACUUGUUGGUUAUAUUCAAAAUAAUUCUAUUGUCAGAAAUAGUUUUUCUCAAAUUAACUUCAUGAUUAGAUGUGAGAUACAAAUAUGAUAAAAUAUUCCUCAUACAUAUGUCAUGGAUAUUUCAGACUUAUAGUAAAAAAAAAUUUUGUUGUUAAAAUAACAUAUAUCAUAGUGUACUAAUUAUUUUAGGACCAUUUUAUAGGUGAACUAAAUUUAAUUUAAAUUAUACAAUAGAUUAUACAUGCAUGUGAUUUUCAUUUAUAAUUAUUGGAUCCUAUUCUUAUGAACAAUCUCCCAAGGGAAAAAAUCCAGAUCAUACUGAUUUUCUUAUAUUAAUUGUUAUACUAAUUUUGUCAUUUUUAUUAUUAUAUUAUUUCUCAUUUUGUUUAGGCUUUUACUCUUAUUAUUUCUUGUGUCUCAGAUGUAAAUUUAUUAAAACUUUAUCAUCUUAUUAUAUUCAUAGGUGUUAAAUUAUAAAAUUUUGAUAUAUAAACAAGUAAUAUUCUAUAUAUAACUAGGAAGAUUUGUUGUUAUUGUUAUUCGAACUUUCAAAGUUUUAAAAAAUUGAAAAUGAUUAAAAGCUUAUAAUAUGACAAAUUUUUUUUACAUAUUUCACAAGAUUAUGUGAAAAGUCAAACUAUUUUUCAUAGUAUUUUAAACUAUAUAAAUAAUUUUUUUUAAAUUAAACCUAUAAUCAUGUAUUAUACAGGUAUAUUAUGAGUACUUACUAACUAAGGUAUUAAGAAUUAAUCAUUAAUAAAACAUCUUAUAGUUAUUUCAAAUAAAUUUCCUAAUACUAGUUUGAAAUAUGUUUUAAUCAAAUAGUACAUGUGUCCCAUAAAUCAGUAAGUUUUGAUUAUUAAUCAAUUUACCAUGUUAUUAGUAAGAGUUACUAUUUAUGUAUAAAAACUUACUAUUACUUGAAUUAAACUUACUCUCUAAAAAGUAAAUUUGGGAUAUAAAGUAGUAAUUUAUUUAUUUAAAAAGUAAGCUUAAUAUUUAUUCCAACUUACCUUUUGAAGUAUAAAAGUUACUAAUUUAUUACUGUUACCUUAUUAUUUUAGAUAGAAAACUUACUUUCUUAUUUUUAAGUGUUAUCCUAUUUAGGUGGAUAAACCUAUCAAAUAAUCAAAUGGUCGCUAAAAGCAAAUAAAAAAUAAUUCGAAAAUGGUCAUCUAAGUGUUAUCCUAUUUAUGUCUAAAAAAGUAAAUUGAAAUAAAAAUGAAAGUUACUUUUUAAAAAAAAAUAAAUUACUACUCUAUAUUCAAAACUUACUUUUUAGAGAGUAAGUUUAGUUCAAAUAAUAGUAAGUUUUCACGGAUUAAUAGUAAAUCCUGUUGAUAGAAUAGUAAAUUUGGUUAAUCAUCAAGACUUACUAGUUUGUAGCAUAAAUUUACUAUUUUACUUAAAGAAACUUAUAUGAAACAAGUAUUAGGAAGUUUAUUUAAAAUAAUGCAAAGAUUUUUUUAUUAAUGAUUGAAACUUAAUAUUAUAGUUUUUUUUUUUUACCUUAUACUUUUUUAUUUAUCCAAAAGUAAAAAUUACAAAAAUGCGCCCUGCGCAGUUUAAGGCCUAAUAUAUGGCAUCUCUAGCUGAUCUAUCCUAAGGAGAGUUUUAAUCUUGCGUGGAAGUGACUCUUCUCCGGUGUAUACCACACCGUGGCCCAGCUGCAAUGCGGCUAAAGCAUCCGCUACCAUAUUGGCUUGUCGAAAGACGUGGCUAAGAUCGGCCCCCAGCUCUGAUAACAAUCAACUUAAUAUUAUAGUUAGUAAUUGUUGGUAACGUAAAUGUAUAAUAUAUGAUUGUAUGUAUCAUUCAUCAAUGUUAUGUGUUUUAAGCAUUUUAAUAAAUGUAUGUAUCAUUUACAAAGGUUAUGUGUUCUAAUAAAUUUAUUUUUUAGGUCACAAGUAUAAAAGUUAAAUUUGUACUAAUGUAGCAUAAUCUUUGAAAACUAUAGUAAAUUUACCCACAUAUUAAGUUUUGUGAGAUUCAAAUAUAUUUUGUAUCAUUUACAAUAUGGAUUUAUAUGCACAUUUUUUUUUAUCAAACUUACUUUUAAUUGGCAAAUAGUAUGUAAAUUAUUAUAAAAUGUCAUUUUAUAAUAAUCAUAAUUUUUAUAGGUGAAUGGUAUAUAAACUGCUAAAAUUGCCAAUUUAUAAAUGAUCAAAUCUUACUACUUUAUGGCAUAUAUUAGUUUGGUCAACUAAAAAAUUAUCGUAAUUAAGUGUACGUUGGUUGUUGAUUUGAAAUUUGCACCCCCGUCACUAUUUUGUUAUUUCUACCACAAGUUUUUCUAAUCAAAGUAAAACAAAGUCAAAUAUCUUUUCCUUUUGUAUGUAGUAUUUAUAUUUAGUAAAAAAUUAAUAAACCAUGAUUACAUUUCAUAAUUUCUAAUAAAAUUAGUAACAUUUUCUAAAUAAAUUGGAAUAAUUUGUAAAAUAUGUUAUUUUUUUAACAAUAUAAUUACGGGUGGCAAUCGGGUCCAAAUCGGAGUGGCGGGUCAGGUUGAGAUCCAGGUAUAAUAGAAAAGUGGUUGACCCGAACUUGACCCCCCAACCCAAAACGGGUCAGGAUAUCUAACCAGAAUCUGAAAAUUCCAGGUUGUCGGACUGGCGGGACGACCCGAAUGACCCAAAACUUAAUUUUAUUUUAUUUAUUUACCACUGUAAUUUCUAAUUCGCACAAGACUAAUUACAUAAUCAAGUAAUAAAAAUUUAAAUAAAUAAUCCCAAACCAAAUCUAAAAUAAAUUAAAAACACUGUAAAAGUGUUUUAUUCCAAACCAAAUAUAAAAUAAAUAAAAGCAGUAUAAAAGUAAAAAAUAAUAUAAUACAUUAUUUGUCCAAAUAUAAUAAUUUCAAUUUCAAAUAAGUUAAAUAAAUUCAUUUAGGAUUAAGUGAUUAAUGCAUUUGAAAAAAAAAGAAUAACUUAGUUUAGUUAGGUAAAAUAAUUUUUAAUUCAUAAACAGGUGUUCGGGUCGUAUCGGAUCACCCACGGUCUAACCCGAAUUCGACCCGUUUUCUUUUCGGGUUUGUCGGAUUCGACUCGAUUCUGACCCGAACCCGUGAAACUUCAAUCCGAAUCAAUUAAUUUCGUGUUAGGUUCAUAUCGUGUUUUCAGGUCGUUCAUGGUAAUGCACCCCAUAAUGGUAAUUUUUUGUGGUGAAUAAUUAUAAAUGUCAGUGUAACUGUUAUCUUUACUUGCAUGGUUAACUCACUAAUUCUAUUAUGGUGUCAUGAAUUUUCAGUUUCAAUCCGAGACUGAACGUUUUAACAUUGCAAUGGAAUUGGUCCUACACCGUAAGAAUGCAUGGGGAUUUCUUCUACAAGAUCAUUUGCAGAGAAGAUGAACAAUAAAAGUAUUCAUAGUUGGGAAAAAUUCUAAUUCAUCUUGGCUAUUUCUAGCUGAAUGCCAAGUACUUUAUAAGGCAGAAGAAUGUGCUUUAUAUUUGCUAUUCUCCUAUCUUACUAAAUGUGCUUUAUAUUUGAAGAGAGAAGCGGUAUUCUCCUGAGUGCAUAUGACAAACACUAAUUUGCUGCGAGACUAAUGGGAUAUACCUGUGAUAAAAGGAAAAGUGAUCCAUCCAUUGUCAUUUUUUUGGCGGGAUUGGACAGUUGAGCUGCUUGGUUCUUCUAUGUCCAUGGAUGCAGGAAUUAACUGUUAAUAUGAUGCAGCAGCCGAGCUAAAAGUUUGUCCCAUUAUUCCUAAUGGCAGAUUGUCAUUAAAUAGAAAGGUGGAUUAGUUGUUUAUUUAUAGAGGACGUGGGAAGAUACUAUUUGUUUGGACCUCUGCUAAUGGCUUACGGUGGAAAUCGCGGCACUUAAAUUCACAAAGGCCGAUGCUCUCUCAUAAAAGUGCCGUCAGUCUACAUAGGAAAGCAACACACUUUUUUUUGGGUCGGAACGAAACGAUACAUUCGUUUCGGAGUAAAAACUUCUAAUGCUCGCAGAAAUAAAUAAGAGUACGUGCUCCUACGACAGAAUGGAUGUUACACCGCUAUUAAUGUGGUAAGGGCAUCCUCCAUAGUACUUUAUAGCAAAAUGUAGCAUGUAGUAAGUAGCUGCUUAUAUAAAACUACCGAGGUUUAGAAGUGGUUAAGCAUUAGAACAACUACUGCAUAAUAGUCCCUGACUAAGCUGAACAAAAUGUGACAGGGUCACAACUACAAAAGUAGUAGCGCAAUCAGAAAACACCUAUAACAACUAAGACAAAAAGAGAGACUGUGUCCGAUGCACCCCAUGUUUGACUAGAACCAUCCAUAUGGAAUUUCAUGAUUAAUGCUAAUCUUCCCUGCUUCCUUUCACUUAUUCCAUCCCGUUGAGAUAUCCAGUCCUGAAAAAAAACAUGACUUUCAGUUUUAGCAUAUCUGGAAGCGGAAAUAACCAAAUGAUGACAAGAAUAACAGUAAAACGUAUGCGUGCUUCAAGCCCCUAAGCUUUAGCAGCAGAACAAGCCAUGUGAGAAACAUUUCUAUAGUAAACCACCUGUACCAAUUUUAAUGCUCGAAACAAUCGAAGUAGAUAAUUCAUUUAUUUGAGAACAUAAGAAUAAAAAUCAAGAAUACGGCUGUAAGCCACAAGAACAACUCAGAGAAACCAGUAAUUUUUUUUUACUUAAAUAUGUACAUUUUUUACUUUUAGUAUUAGUAAGUUUGAUUCAACCAUAAGUAAAUUUUGUCAAAUAAUAAGUAAAUUAAAUUAUUCAAAGUGUAAAUUUCUAUUCCUGACUAAAACUUAUCUUUCAGGCAUAUACUUACUAGUUUUAAUUAAAAACUUACUAAAGUUAAUAUUAAUUAUUUUAAUAUAAUAUUUAAAAAAGUCGCUAAAAAUUUUGAUCUGUCACUAAAGGUAAUAGAAACCUAUAAUAGUAGGUUUCCCUAAUAUCGUUACUGUAACUAUAGGCACUGUAGCAUUGUCCCUAAAGGAAAAGACUGAUCAUCAACUAACAUGUCAUAAUAAUUAUGAAUCUUAAAAUUAAUUUUCCAGUCAGCCCACCCAAACUGAAAUCGCGCAAAUUUAACACAUGUUUCACACCAUAAACACCUGCAAAUGCUAAAGCAAGUCACUCCUAUCUAUCUACAGGAAAAGUAGUCGUAAAUUCUCAGUUUUUACUUCAACCUCAAUAAUUGAAAACUUUGCUUACCAAUAAAAAUAAAAAUAAAAAUAAUAAUAAUUACAAUAAUAAGCAACGCAAUUACACAUUUUUGACUAUAUAUGAUAAAUCGACCGGAACUGAUCAGUGGUCUAAAUAAUGGUAUUCCCAAGUCACUUUUACACAAAUUGAUGCUUAAUUCCUUGACUUUGAGGGAGACUAUCUGAAAAUUUUAUGAAGGAAAUCAUACUACAUAUAGAGCAGAGAUUAGUUCACUUAGCUGAGCCUUAAUUAACCAUAUGUUAUCUGAAUUUUCCUUCAGAAGAUUCCAAAAAGAACUGAUUCCUAGCCACGAGAUCCCCCCCCCCAUCACAAAAAAAAAACUCUUUAGACAGCAGGGCAGGGAUUCACGAAGACUCCAUAUAUUAAUGAAAUUCAUACAUACUUCUAAUUUAGGCAAGAGAUUAUGCAUUCUAAUUGAUGUGUACAUGCUAAUGUAAUUGAACCAAACAUGCAGCUCCAGGACGGUGCUUUCUUGCUCAGGAGUCAGGAUUCAUUCAUUUGGAGUAUUUUAGCUAGUAAUGACAAGUUUACAAGAAAUGAGUUUGAUUGUACUUGCUACCUAUCCCAUUGGCGUAAACCCCCAAAUUUUUGACUUCAAUACACAAAGUCGUAUUUUUUGGACAAAAAAAAAGAGAAUACACAUAAUUGUAUUUAUGAAUACUUCAAUCACUAUGCUUGUCUUAUUAUGGAGCUUGGAGUCAUCUUAAUUGUCCAUAUCUUAUGAUUGAGAGUGGCGCAAGACUCCUUCCUAGCAAGUAAGCAGUGGUAAUUAAUAUGUAUGGAUGAAACUUGGACCGAUUCCCACAGACAUCCAAGCCAAGUAACCCAAAUCAUUAAUAUGACCUUCAAACCACAUAUAUACAUACACUUUCUUUGUUUAAUUGAAGGACAAUGUUAGAGGGCCCCAGUGGAAUCUUAGUCAAUAAAACCACAUUUAUCCAUUGAUAUAUUUACGCCAUUGGGCUGCAGCCGGCUGACCAUUAUCUUAAGUGCAAUAUUGUGAUGGAUUGUAGAUUUCAAUGAUUAUUAUACUUUUGGCAAAAAUUUUUUUCAAAUGUCAAUAAUCUAUGUCUUUACCUACUCUUGCUCCUAAAUAACGAGGAAAAGGACAAUUCUAACUGGAUUAUUAGGAAUAGAAAGAGACUAAAUUACCUUUGAAUUAGACGGAUGCCCUAUGACACCUGUUGGAUUUAAAAAAAUUACAUAAAGUGACAAUUGAUAGAAGGCAAGAUUCAAAACUCUGACCUCCCAACUCACAAAAUCUUAAAGUACUUUUUGUGGUUUAACAAGUAGCGUACAUAUGCAGGUAUCAUCUAUCCUUGCAUCUUUUUCAUGAUAAGAAAUCUAUCUGGUCAUUUCUUUCCCUCCAGCUUGCGUUUUUCUCAACCCAGUCGGAAGCCAUUGAAAGCAUGGCAAGUGCCAGUGAACAAUUGAGUGGUAGGUGGUCUCUUAAUAGAAUGACUGCCCUUGUUACUGGUGGCACCAGAGGCAUUGGGUAAGCAAAUUUCUUCAAAUAUAGUUCCUGGUAUUUAUAUUUAUAUCCAAAAAUUAGUAAAAUCAUUUCAACAUUAGUUUUCUCAUUCACUCCUCAAAAGGGUAUGUUAACUGUUAACAACCAAUUGGACAACUUUUAAUGAGCAGAAAAACCUACUCAAUCACGGUCAUAUCUCGUUUCGUAUACAUAAAUCCUUACUUCCUUCACUUGUUCUAGUAUAUAUGUGCGAUUAUGUCCCUAGUAGCUUUAAUGCAACAUCCAAAAUGCGUGUCCCCAUUUUAACUAUUUGACCCAAAAUUUCAGGCAUUCCAUAGUGGAAGAGUUGGCAGGAUUUGGAGCCAUAGCAUACACAUGUUCAUGAAACCAAAAGGAACUUAAUGAAAGGCUGCAAGAAUGGGGAGCAAAGGGUUUCAAAGUUUAUGGUUCAACUUGCGAUAAGGCUUCAAGAACAGAAAGAGAGGAACUAAUAAAGAACGUCUCUUCCACCUUCGACGGCAAGCUGAACUUACUGGUAAGUACAAACUCUGAUCCAUAAAAAUGGUUGGUCCAUCUAUUUCUUGACUUGUUAAAGAAUCAUAAACAUCAUCUCUGUUUAGAGUUUUAGUAUAUGCAUCCAGAGUAAUUCUUAGGGGAAAUAUUUCCGAUAUCUUGGUUUGAAUUAAUUUCCCAAAUGCGGACUGCAGUGCAGAUAUUUUGUAGGAUGUGCCGGCUGAAAGUGAAUGAUAUGCUUAAAAAGGAGUAAUUUAAGAAGCCUCCCAUCAGAUUUUUAACAAUUUGACUGCCAUUUCUAUUUGGCAAUUAGAACUUUUAAUUUUCUCACCCGCACAGAGUAGCAAUCAUAACACAGAAAUUUCUCUUUGACAUUUCACCAAACAUCUUAUAUGCAUUCACAAAUUAAUCACAUUUAACUUAAACGCCUAGUCUCAAGUCCUUUUCUAGAUGUUUCAUAUGACUAUUAAGCAUAUUUUACCCGUAGACAAUCAAAACUACAACCAUUUCCUAGAUGUUUCAGUGGACAUUUUCAGCCCCAAAAUUGCAAUAAAAUCUUCAAAUUCUCAGCCUUGAUUUCGCAAGAAAAUCUUGACAAACAAAACAAAUAAAAUAUAAAUAAAUUACAGCAAUAUAAUCAAACGAUUUCAAGAGGACAUGAUGGUCUAACCUCGUCACUGCUCUUUUUCAUAUACUCUUUGAUUGGCUACCACCGUCGCAAACCCUUUUGUUGUGUCUGCAUAUGGCAGCACCCAAAAACAGCCGAUCAACACCCAAAAAACGGAAUCAGAUUCGGAGAAUUUAUUAAUUGGUCACCCGGAGGACCCUGUUCCCAACGUAAAUGAUGAGUUGAAUCGAAGUAACAGAUGCUCCCUUUUAUUGUGUCUGCAUAUGGCAGCACUCAAAAACAGUCGAUCGAUGAGAAAGGAUAUAGGGAAAGUUUGAACUAAAGAUGAAAAUUUUGAAGUGAGAAAAUUUAUUCAAUUGUAACCAAGAGAAAGUGUAGAUCAAAGUGAAAAUCUUUGUCUGGGAAUUCAAUCGUAUCGUUGGAACUGAGAACUAAGUAAGAAGAAGGCAGAUGACUUUAAAGAGAUGAACCAAAAGUGUUUCAGGAACCCAAAACCGUUUUCAGAAACUGGUAACUUUUUAACUAGAAUAUGUACAUUUUUUACUUUUAGUAUUAGUAAGUUUAAUUUAAAUAUAAGUAAAUUUUGUCAAAUAGUAAGUAAAUUAAAUUACUCAAAGUGUAAAUUUCUAUUUCUGAUUAAAACUUAUCUUUCAGACAUAUACUUACUAGUUUUAAUUAAAAACUUACUAAAGUUAAUAUUAAUUAUUAACAUAUAAUAUUUAAAAAGGUCGCCAAAAAAAUUGAUUUGUCACUAAAGAUAAUAGAAACCUAUAAUAGUAGGUUUUCCUAAUAUCGUUACCAUAACUAUAGGCACUGUAGCAUAGUCCUUUACAUGUUUUUUGAACUUAAUAGAUAACUCCAUAAUCUAUGCUAAUGCCACGAAAAUUAACUAUUAUUAUUUGAGAGUUUCUUAAUGAUUUUACCCAAUUUCUUUAUAAUUAACUCAAGAUGGUCCGUUGCCGAGAAAUUUAGCUCCGUUUGGAUUGAUCUUUUUUUAAAAACUCCAAUUUUAUAUACAAUACUACAGUAAUACACAAAUAAAAACAAUAUCAAAAACAUCAAAAACAACGUUAAAAACAUCAAAAAUAACCUCAAAAACACAAAAAAAAAUAACCUAAAAAAAUAAAAAACAACUUCAUCUACAGUAAAAGUUUUUCAUCUACAUAAAUAUAAUAAAAUAUUUCAAAAACACCCCAAAAAUAGCUAAUUCAAACUGUAUAAUCUGUCAUGAGAAGUAAUUGAUCUUUAACCAGUAAAAGUGCUCCAAAUAACAUUAUUGAAAAGUUCGUAAAUUCUCCAUAAAAUACAAUCUAAAUAAGAUAAUUGGCCAGCCCUUGUUUGGCCAAUUGACAGCGUGAGAUUCGUCAAAAACAAACCUACACUUGCCAAGAUGUUGGUUUAAAUUUGCCUUGUGGGACUCGAAAAGUAGUUUAAUUCAAAUUUUCUUCAGGAUACUGAGUCAUUUAAGAUCCUUCCUUCAAUUCGCUGGCACCUGUCUGGAAAGUGGAUUCUAGCCAUCUCUCCGUUUCUUCCCAUGUAUUCUUUCAAUCGCAGCUGGAAUAUUGUGGCUCAGUCGAAACAUAUGAUUCUCGACGAAUAAUACACUAGUAUUCAGGAUUGACAACAAGAAUAUGUCCACUAUUUUCCUUAGCACCAACUUGUUUUAUAUGCGCUUGAGGACUAGAUGGAUGUCAGCAUUGUUGUUGUGUGAUUUGGAGCUGGUCUUUGGUUGCAAGUUUGAUGGUACUCGUGAUUUUGUGAAUAUGCCGAUGAAGUGUUUGCGCAUUUGUCUGAACAACUAGUCUGCGUUUAGAUGCAUCCUUUUCAUGUUAGCUUCAUAAAACCUUGUUAUUAGCGAAGAAGAAAUUUAGCUGAAAUUGGAAAAAAGAAAACAUCUUGGUCAUGGCUUUCUGGUACUUACGGUUACUAGAAAGCUCGACAUAUUCAGGAAUCAGAAAAUUUUAUUUAAUUAUACUUUCUUGGAUUAAGUUUUUGUAGUAGAUUCUCCCAAUUCUGAUACUGAACUGAUGGACAGGGUGUUCGUAUUGAAUUUUAUUUGUUAAUUACAUUUUCUUAACAAAAUAUCACUUCUAAUUAAUUGUUUCUUUUUGUGCUUAGCAUUUUUCAGCUUAGACCUCUCUGGCUUCUGCAAUGUCAUAAUUCUCUUGUGUAUUUGCGUGAUGGUGAGUUUUUGAUUAAAUUGCACCUUUAUUCUUUUUCAGGUUUGCAUUCUGUGGUUGCCAUCCCUCGUUUCAUGGUUAUAAUAUUGCUGCUGAAUAGCUGCCAGAAUUGGAAUUAGAAUGCUAUGUGGAUUGCUGAAUCAUCUCAUUCUUGGAAAGGAUUAUGGUCUGAUUUCUAAUCAAUUUGAGUAGAUGAACUAUGCUACAUGGAGAUAUGAUGUCUUUCCGGAAACUGGCCUACCAUACUCCAAGACUAUCUUCUGCAUUACUUCAAUCACUUGCUACUGGUGGUUUGAGGACUUAUGAGAAAUUUUCAGGAGCAGAAUGGAGUUGCAGGCCUUCCACCCUGUUCAGGGAAUUCAAAUCAACCAACUUAAUAGAGAAAAGCAAUUGUUUGGAUUUCCAGACAGGCUUUACUCGUUCUUCACUACCUUUUUCUACUGUUGCAGGAACAAUUCUUGUCCAGGCUCGAGACCCAGGCAAACUGUGCCAGGAGUUAGAAGUUGCAAUCGAGGAACUCAGACUAAGUGAUGCUUGGAAUUUAUACAAGCAAUACAUGCAUAUGGAGGGAUUUCCUAGGAAAUCAAUUGUCAAUGUGCUUGUAGCUACGUUGGUAGAAAGUUUAGAUGUUCAAUGGCUGGAGAAGGCUUAUGCAUUGUUUGAACAAGCCUCAGAAGAGCACAAGCAGAACCUCUUUGAAAAGGAGACUCUAAUUUAUCUCUCUUUGGGACUUGCUAGAUGUGGACUGCCUGUUCCUUCAUCAACUAUUCUGAGAAAGCUUAUUGAGAUGGAGCAAUUUCCACCCAUUAAUGCUUGGGCUACAAUCCUGGCAUAUAUGUCACAGACCUCUCCUGGAGCAUACAUUGCAGCUGAGUUGGUUCUUGAGAUUGGUUAUUUAUUCCAGGAUGGAAGGGUGGACCCACGUAAAAAGGUCAAUGCACCAUUGAUAGCCAUGAAACCCAAUACAACUGCAUUUAGCAUUGCUGUGGCCGGUUGUCUUCUAUUCAAUUCUGCUAGGAAAGCCGAGCAACUACUUGACAUGGUGCCUCGGAUCGGUUUAAAAGUGGAUGCUACCUUGUUGAUCAUUAUGGCUCAUGUGUAUGAAAAUAACGGACGAACAGAAGAGCUGAAGAAGCUUCAGAGGCAAAUUGACGAAUCUUAUGGUGUAAGUGACUUACAGUUUCUCCAGUUUCAUAAUUGCUUACUCUCAAGUCAUCUAAAAGUCGGGGAUCUAGAUUCUGCAUCUCAAAUGGUGCUGGAAAUGCUUCACAGGGCAAAGAAAGCGCAAAGUUCUUUUGGGGCAACCACUUCAGCAUUCAAAAUGGUAGCAAAUGGUAAUAGAUCAUCCUCUGGACAUGUUUCUAAAGAGGAUUUAGACUGCAGAGAACCAGAUGGAGUGGAAUAUCCUACACUACGCCCUCUUUUGUCUUUUGAAAAUUUCUCUAGAGACAGGAAGUUUUUGAAACUUGAGGCAGAGGCCAAAGAAUUACUUGAUGUUUUGGUUUUCAAGGUACAGAGACAAGUACAAUUAAUAACUACUGAACAUGGUAUUCUCCAGCCAACAGAGAGAUUGUAUGUGAAAUUGGUUAAGGCUUUCUUGGAAUCACAGAGGACAAAAGAUUUGGCAGAGUUUCUAAUCAAAGCCGAGAAAGAAGGUUCUCCAGUUUCUGCAGAUAAUUCUACCUUAAUACACGUCAUAAAAUCAUGCAUAUCCCUUGGAUGGUUAGACCAGGCUCAUGAUCUGCUUGAUGAAAUGCGCUUGGCAGGUAUUAGAACUGGUUCUUCUGUAUAUGCCGACCUCCUAAAAGCAUAUUGUAAAGAAAAUCGAGCCGGAGAGGUAACAUCAUUGCUUAGGGAUGCCCGUAAAGCUGGAAUACAGCUAGAUGCAAGCUGCUAUGAAGCAUUGAUCGAGUCACAGGUGCUCCAAAAGGAUACCCAAGGGGCCCUUUGUCUGUUCAAAGAGAUGAAAGAGGCUAAAAUACGCAGAGGUGGUCAUCAAGAUUUUGAGAUGCUGGUUAAAGGAUGUAGUGAGAGUGGUGAAACUGAUCUAAUGUCAAAACUCUUGCAGGAAAUUAAGGAAGGGCAUAAAAUUGAUUGUGGAGUUCAUGACUGGAAUAAUGUUAUUCACUUUUUCUGCAAGAAGAGGCUGAUGCAGGAUGCUGAAAAUGCAUAUAAGAAAAUGAAAAGCUUGGGUCACUCCCCGAAUGCACAAACUUUCCACUCUCUUGUAAUGGGCUAUGCUGCUAUUGGGACAAAAUAUACAGAGGUUACAGAAUUAUGGGGUCAGAUGAAGGCUCUUGCCUUUUCCAGCAAGAUGAAGUUUGAUCAGGAACUAUUGGAUGCUGUGCUUUAUACAUUUGUGAGGGGUGGGUUCUUCGUUCGAGCCAAUGAAGUUGUUGACAUGCUUGAGAGGGGAAACUUGUUCAUCGACAAAUAUAGAUACCGAACCCUGUUCCUGAAGUACCAUAAAACACUAUACAAGGGCAAGGCUCCAAAGUUUCAGACAGAAAACCAAAUGAAAAGAAGAGAAGCAGCUUUGAAUUUCAAAAAGUGGGUUGGUCUAAGUUGAAGAAGACAUCAAUGUGGUGAUAUUCUAGGAAUUAACUAUUUCAUCAAGGCUUUCCUGCUUUGAUGAAUUUGUUUUAGCUGGCCAUUGAAAAGAAAACCGUUAACAAAGCUCCCACAAUUUAAAAAGAAGAUUUGCAGAUACCAAGUUCCCAACUGCCGAUUGUGGUCUUUGAACUCCACUUAUUUGGAGGAGUGGAGUUGGUUGAAACCACUUCCCAUUAGUCUUGCCAUGUAAUCUAAGUACUCAUCUUGGUGCCUGCGCAGAGUCCGCUCCGCAAUUGUAUUACCUAGUUGUGAGUUCAGUUAUUUUAGUUCUCCAAAUUCUUCAUUAAAAAAUUUGACUUGACAGUAGUGAAUGAUCUACUAAUUUGUCAAUGGUUUCCAUUUCAUAUUACAUGUAAAUUUGUACAUAUGUAGAACUCGGUUCAUGAUGGGACCGCUUGUUGAACUUCUCAUUGACAAUAACAUCAUCUGAUUUUAUAUCAACAUGGAUAACUAAAGGACUGCCCUGAUCUGCUGAUAAACCAUUUUACUGCAUCCAUUUUAUAUACAUUUGAGAAUUUAUGUGUGCAGUACAAUUUCCUUCUGAACUUGGUGGAGAAUAAUCCAGAACACUAGAAGCAUGAAUAAUUUUCAUAUUUCUCAGCUGUACCUGCAGCAGUGCCUUGAUGAAAUUGUUAUUUGCUAGACUCUUGCUCCUUUCCUUUUCCUUAUUCUGAUGACACGUAUAAUCAUGUUACUUAAGGGACUCUUUUUUGCCGCAAAUUUUCGAAAGAAGAUAGCAAGGUGUUGUGCGUCAAAUUUGAGGUGCUACCUAAGGCUUACUCCUUUAUGGAGAUUUGAAAAAAAGCGAAGGGGAGUAUAAUUGAAAAACUUCUUUUCUGGGUGAAGAAUAUGUAAAAGGCAUUUUGGGAAGCGUCCAUUUGAAUUUUAAUCUGAUUGCUUCAAAAAAGCCGUCGAUUUGAGAAUUUAUUCGUUGUUCUUCAUUUUUGCAUGUUCUAUAGUCACCUGAAGCCCGGGGAACUAGACUGCGACAAGUCGUCGCUAAUAGUCAAUAACGAGCUAACACGAGUCGGCAUUAACGAAAUAGUCUAGUCAGCCUAGGAAGGGAAGGAACGAUUUCUGCACACGUUGACCCAUGGAAGACUUUUAAAUGGAUUGUGAAUGAGCGAACAAAGAUAAGAAAUACUACUUAAAAGCUCUCCUUGAGCGAAGAUUAAUAAAGAUUGCGAGUAAGUCGCAAAGAAAAAGAUUUAAAGCUCUUACUGGAUGUGAGUCAAGAAAUCAAAUCUCUUAAUUUGUAUUUUUUUCGGACUUUUUUGAAAGUAUUCGGACUUGUCCAGUCGCGAUUUAAUUCUUUCUAUAUCUCUCAUUGACUCCUUUAGAUCCACCUUUUUUACUUAAUGUAUAAUAAAAAUUAUUGUAUCGAAAAAAAACAACAAAGAUAGGAAAGAGGUAAAAAUCUGUUAUUGCCAAUUUUAUAAACCUGGUCUUGUCUCCUGUUAUUGACUCAUUAAUUGUUUGCAAAUUGCAAAUGUUAUUUGAAAAGCAUACCGCUGCCUGGUUUAUGUUGGCUUAGUUAACAUAUUGGAUAGCUCUAUUUUGUCAAAUAAUAUUUGGCUUGCAUCAUAAACACAUUUCCCAACCCACCUUUUUAUAUUCUCAACAAUAUUUUUAUCUCAUCACAAAAAGUAUAACAGUAUUUAUUUCAAAUAAUACUCUAUCCAAACAAACAAACCCAGUGUUUGUAAAAAAUAAAACACAAACUUUUUAGGAAACAAAUUCCUCACAACUCAAAGGAAAGAGUUUGCUUCUUAACUAGAUGCAAACCCAGAUUUUUUUUCUAUUUUUGAAGGAAAGGUACUAGGAAAACAAUAAAAUUAUAUGUCAAUUUUAAUUAAGUUUGAGAAGUUAGGACUGUAGUUUUUGGACCCGUUUCCUUUCAAAGCCAAAAAUAAAACAAAAACAAAAAUUUUUUUUGAACAUUUGAUGGCUUAUACAAAUGGAAAUUUCCGUCCAAUAAUGUAAAAAUAGGGUCGCGAAAUAAUGACCAAACUUAUGCGCUACAAUUUUAAGUCAUCCCUUAGAGCGCCAUUUUUUUUUUUUUUCCUUUCAACAACAAAAACAAAUUAAUUAGUUAAUCAAUAACAAACAUACAUAAAUUUGGCCAAAUAAAACUAGAUUGCACAGCAUAUGUUUUAGAAAAGCUGAAUAACAAAAUUUUGUAAAAAAUAGACUUUCAACAAUAGCAAACAAUUCUAGAGCAGGAAAACAUACAAAAAUUCAAUAUUCCUGAGACCAUUGAGUUGGAGUUCUUGAAUGUUCCUGGAACCUAUUCUCUCUUCCCUUUAUCAGAGCAACUCUGAUAUACAAAGUUCAACAAUUUAUAUUGUUUGAUAAUUUUGUUCUGCUUACCCAUUCUCACCCUCAUUUUUAUACAAUAACAACGUGAAUUUUGAAAUUCUUAAAAUUAGGGGAUAAAACCACCUCUCUCUCUCUCUCUCUCUCUCUCUCUCUCUCUCUAUGGGGGAUAGAAUAAUAGCAAUUUUAUUAAUGAGAUAGUUGAAAAUCAUCCGUCACGAUUUACUUGACAAAGUCACGAGAGAUAAAACUAUUUUAACAUCGAAUUCAAAUACAAAUUAAUUAUGAAUAGAACAUAACAUUCUUGAAUUUGGCUAAAACUAAUUGAAACCACCAGCCUCUUGGAUUAAUGUUCAAUCCAAUCCGAUUAAGAUUCAAAUUCAUCAAUUUGAUCAACAAAAUAGCUUUUCCAAAUGACCCAUAAAAUAGCCUGUGGAUGUUGAUCAAUUAGAGGUGCUAGAAUAAACGCUAUUAAAAGUUCUUAUAGUAGUGUUUUUGGUAAUUAAUUUUCCGUACCUUAAGUGGCUCAAAUUUUGAUAACUUAAAAGUACUUUUUAUUAAAAACACUUGUGUCAGAAAGACUUCUUUAUAUGCCGUCAUAAUCCCAAAUGAGACCUUAGAUUGAUUCAACAAUAGAAUUUUGAGACAACAUUCCCAUCAUCAACUCCACAGUGGAAUUUUGAGGUAAGGAUAAGGAUUCCAAAAUUUCAUAUAUAAAUUUGCUUCUAUUUUUUUGGUUCCAUUAAUGAAAAAAAAAACAAUUAUUCAAUGUACAUUAACAGCAAACCUACUCGUGUCAAUCAAGUUUUCAUAGUCCAAUGAAUAAGAUGACUAAAAGAAAUCAUGGUACGCAAUUCAAUUUUCGUCUCCUCUUUUUUUCCUAAGUCCAAAGGACUUUUAAUAUUUUGACAAACCUAAACCCCUCGAGAACCCACAGAACCCGGCAAUUUUCGUCUCCUCGCCCACUUCUUUUUCUCCUUCCUCUAAUCUCAUGUGACAAAAAAAACAACUAUUAAAAAAAUGGUAGCAGAAUAGCAACGCAAUUUCGACCUCGUCAUGCCCGACAAAUUGAUUAGUAGUCAAAUCCCAUGACGGCAGCUCCAAAGACUCCGAAGUUUGAAAAUUCAAUUCAAACGGACUACCAAAAAUAGCCAACCUUUGACUUUGUCGUAUUCUAGAAACCAAGCACAUUACUACCAGUAUUAUAUUUAUUAAAUGAGGGUACUAAUUAUAUUUAACUCUCCAUUUCAUUAGUUGGACCAAAUAAAAGAUUGUCGACCAUUAUUCUUCUGAAUCUCAAAGCAUCUCCAAACUUGCACCUGCCCUGCAAAAUUGACGUUUCCCUUUUUGCCCUUUUUGCUAAAGGAAAAACUGGAUCUGAACAAAUGUACCACAUGGCAUUUCGAAAGACUCCAAAAAAUUAGGUGAAAAAGAAAACGGAUCAGCCCAAAGUGGAAAGCUAAACUAAGCAUUUAAUUAUACAGUAGUUAAUUUUUUUUUUUUUUAAGAAUAAACAGGAAGUCUCGAGUCUGGGAAUGUGAGUUUGAUAAAACUGAAAUUUGAAAAUUGAGAUAUGAAAUCUGAAGUUUAAAUCCAUUAAACUGUUAAAUUGUUAAAUACUAAAUAUGAUAUAUUUGAGUGUAUAUCACAUUAAGUGAUAAGUGCGAAUUUUGUUUAGAAAAUUCAAUGUCAUUGAAUUAAUUCAAAUGUUCAAUUUUUUUUAUUAUUAAACAUGUUUGAACAUGUUAAAAUUUGAAUCCAUUCAUUUAAGUGAUGAAUUAGGUUAUCAAAUAGGGUCUUACACUCUCUCAUUCGGACCAUCUAACUCGUCUCUCUCCAUAUACACAGUAUUGUUCUUGUUAUAGUAUAAAAAAAUAAAUCUAGUAGUACUUAAUUAUUAUGAUUAAUUCCAUUUUGCACCCUUCAACUAUAUUCAAAUUUUUGCUUUGGUCCUUUAACUUUAAAAUGAGACUCUUUAGUUUUUAAACUAUAAAAUUUGUCUCACUUAAAUAACAUGAUUAAGGAAGUGAGACAGAUUUUAUGUCUAAGUGAGUAUAUUUUGAGGACUAGAUUGAGACAAAUUUUAUAUUUUAGGAACUAAAAUGGACAAGUUUUAUAUUAUAGAGACUAAAGUAUGACAAAUUUUAUAAUCAUUCUAAAGUUUAGGAACUAAAAUGAGAAUUCAGGUCCAGUUAAAGGAUACAAAGUGCAAUUAACCCUAAUUAUUACGAAUUGUCCGCCUUAUUAUUUUGACUGUACGAAUUGUAGCAUUCGGCAAUAGUUGCCAUGCACAAGCUCCCAAAUAUUCUGAAUCUGGGAGCAUCUUCGAACUUUACAACCCUGCAAAAGGCGCUGAAUUUAGCAUUUGGCAAAAAAAAAAUUUAUACGUGUCCGGUAGUUAGUGGAAAACUGGGUUGAAUCAAACUUUAUGUUUUUCAUAAAUAUAUUUUUUUAAUCAUCUUUUUAUUUCAUGCAUACCAACUUGUUACGUUACUUUUUUAACAAAAAUUUCAAAAAAUAACAAUUUAAUUGACCUAAUCAAAAUUUAUUAUUAGUAUUCUUAACAAAUUCUUCUAAUUCCUGGGUGUGUUCUAGUGCAUUCAAAUAAUAUCAAAGGCAAAAAUAUAUCACUCACAAAACACAAAAAUAUGUAUAAUUUUGCUUUUUUUUUUGGGAAAUUGGUAUUUAGAAUUUCAAUAAUGACACAGCAAUUUUUACCUCAAUUAGUAUUAAAUCUGUCUUUUCAAUAAAUCAUUCCCAUCUUGAAUUAAAAUUGAAAGAUAGUAUUAAAAAAUUUGUUAUGGCAUUAAAUUUGUUGUCUGAACAAAAGUUUUUGCGGGUAAAUGAAUACUAGAAGGACGAGGCGGGUGGUCCCAACCUUUUUAACUACUCACCGGCGAAAACAAACUGAAACAGACAGCAUACUUAUUCCAAACAAAAGUCUUGAGUCCUGACUUAAUGAGCCCCUUUCUGCUGACAUUUCAUUCGUUCCUCCAUUAGUCCUCUCGUUUACACGUAGUCACACAGUAGCUCCGAACAUAAACACCUUCUAUUACAAUCAAACUAAUUGAACAGAUUGUUGAUCGAUAUUUGAGGUAUUGCGAGAUGGGUUCUGUGGAGGAGGAGAUGAAGGAAGAUUCUAAAGCUGUUGAAGAUAGCAACCUUGAAAUGGGUUCAGAAAAGAAGGAGAACAGAGCAGAAAUGCAGAAGAAAGGAAACAAGGAUAAAAGGAAGAAGAAGUUGAAACAGAGGCGAAAUUUUAUUCUGCGAAGAUUCAGUUGUAUCAGAAUGGACGAUGAAUAUCCGACGGUUGAUGAACCGACUGGCGAGGGAAGUUUUAAUAUGCAGGCUGUUACGGAUCGUACACCGACUCACUUAAUUGUUAUGGUUAACGGUAUUAUUGGAAGGUUAGCUUUUUGUUUUUUUUUUUUGGUACUUUAGUUUUUCAUAUUUUUGGUACGUUGUUAUUCAUAAGUUUAAAAGUUUCAAAGAAUUAAAUUAAAUUGGCAAAGUAUUAAAUGUUAACUAAAAUUAAUGUUUAGCUCUUGGCUUUUUUCUCUUCUUUUUUUUUUUUUUCGGGCGGCGCGCCUUAGUGUUAGUGUUUAGCACUUGGAUUUUUAUUUGUGAUCCUUUUGUAUUGCAGUGCACAGAAUUGGAGGUAUGUUGCAAAACAGUUUGUGAAGGCAUAUCCCAAGGAUGUUCUAGUGCAUUGUAAGUUGUAUCUUCAAUAAAUGUAGUGCUUAGAUAAAUUUGCAUUGUUUGUUAUGGUGACUUACUAAGCUACAUGAGCUUGAAUUUAACUUUGUCGACCAUCUGAUUUGAUUUUAAUUCAGCUGGAGCAAGUCAGUGUAGAUGCAUUAUACAAUCAUACAAAUGAUGUCGAAUUAACGUGUUAUUUUCAGGCAGUGAGUCUAACUCAGCAAUGCUGACAUUUGAUGGGGUUGAUGUAAUGGGAAAGAGGCUGGCUGAUGAGGUUUGUUGUUCAUGGCUUUUGUCUUAGCGCUUAACUAUUGCUUUUGCAAUUCAUUAUUGGGCUAAUUACCAAAAUCUAUCCAAAUUUUCAGGUGUUAUCUGUUGUUCAAAAGCAUCCAAACCUUCAGAAGAUAUCAUUUCUAGGUCAUUCGCUUGGUGGCCUGGUAACAAGGUAUGCUAUAGCUGUGCUUUAUGGAAAAGAUUUUACCAGAAAAUCCCACGAAGAAAAUGGAGAUUGUAAGCUUGACGAAUCCAAAGAAUCAUUAUCUGAAGACAAAUAUAAAGGCAAAAUUGCUGGACUGGACCCUGUGAAUUUUAUAACCUCUGCAACUCCUCACCUUGGUUCAAGGGGCCAUAAACAGGUGAAUAAUUGCUAGCAUCAAUUUUCUGGAUUUUGAUUUUGAUGAUUAUGACCUCUAACAGAUUAAGCAUUAUAUGUGCGUACAAAUGACGAGCAGGGAGAAGUGCUCAUAUACUACAGUAUGAACCUUUUCUGUAUGCACCUUCUGUUUUACUUAACCACUCCAACAAUGUAGCAGUGCCAUCAUGGCUGCAGUGUUUCUGGUUUAAGAUCUGAGAUUUAUCUGCUAGUUUGUUCUUUAAUAUUUCUAUCAUAUGUUGUUAGAAUUAUAUCUCCUAGUUUAAAGGUAAUGUAGCAGCACCAAGUAGCCAACAAUUGGAACUUUCAUAGGCUGCAUGCAUUGCUUUUGUGUGUUCUUGCACUCCAGUACUCUAGUAAUGAUUCUUUUAUCAUUUCAUGGACAUGCAGGUCCCUUUGUUCUGUGGAUUGUACACCUUGGAGAAAGUAGCAUCACAUACAGCAUGGAUACUUGGAAGAACCGGAAAACAUUUAUUUCUGACUGACGGUCAUGAUGGGAAACCUCCACUUCUGUUUCAAAUGGUCAAUGAUUCUGAAGAUCUUCAAUUUAUGUGAGCAAACAUGAGUGAACUUAUUGUCCCAAAGAAUUAAACAAAAAAGAAUGAACUUUUUAUUACUUCUUUUUUCAUGUGUCCAACAGAAUAUCUGAAAAUUUUCUUCUAUUUCUUUACCAUUUAUUUCUUGUUCCUGGAUUUGCAGAUCCGCAUUGCAAUCAUUUAAGCGACGCGUGGCCUAUGCAAAUGUACGACAUGACCGUAUCCUGUUAUACCCUUGAAUUGAUGGAGCUUUUCCACGUUAGUAGAAAUUAUUAGAUACCUUAUGCAGUCAAGAAACUGUUCAAGUUACAGAUAUUGAAGUAUAACAUUGCUGCAGGUUUAAUUACUUUCAUUUGUUUUAAAAUCUCUGCCAUACUUGAAAAACUUAACUAAGUGCAGAUCUUGUUGGGUGGAGUACAUCAUCUUUGCGACGCCGGAAUGAGCUUCCAAAGGUAAACAUUUAGCAUUUAAAGUCAGAAAGAUGUUUUCAUCUAAAAUGAUUUUCUGACAGUUCAAUUAUAUUUUCAGCGGCGCAAUCUGUUAAAAAAUGAUAAGUACCCACAUAUCGUGAACAUAGAGACUGCAAAAACAGCCAUUUCACAAGAAGAGACGGAUGUUCGAGUCGAGGGAUUUAGGAUUGCGGACAUGGAAGGUUUGUUUUUUCCUAUAACUCCCUUAACCGAUAAAGUCUCUUUUUUAUCAGAGGUCUUCAAUUGGGAGUUUGACCUGCAAUCCAUUUAUCAUUAGAUAAUGGUGUUGAUCCUGCAAAGUGUAAAUAGUUAAGUUUUGGUGGAAAUAUGUUGAUGAUUUUGGUCUAAAUCCAGGAGAGACCACUGUUAAAUUUAUGGUUACACAUCAUGAUGAUACACAAGUAGCAGUUUCCAUGUAGCUUUUCAGACCAGGAUUGAGAGCCAAUGAUAUGCAAUGUUGCAUGAGCAAUUAAAUGUGACUUUGAAGUGUAAGCUGGUCUUAGUAAAUCAAUUUUAUGAACUCUUGGCGGAAAACAUAAUCCCUCUUAUUAAACUAUCCAGAACAUUAAUCCUAUCUGUAUGUUAGUGGCAUGAGAAAACGUCCAGAUUUUGGUAAUUUGACACGUCUCAACAGUGUGCUGUACACUCAGUGACAUUGAGAGAACUGAGUUUAAAGCAUCCUAUAUGCGGAUCGGUGAUUUAUAUUUAUCGAAUCCAUCUCAUGUUACCGUAAAUUAAACUGUUUAAAAUGGUGUUUUAAGUGGCUUCUCUGUAUUCUUGAGCUGGUAAAUAAACUCCAUGUGUCUUUAGGCAGUGCCGAACUGCCAAUCGGGCUGAAGAUUAUAGUCUGAUGAGAGAGUAGAUGAUGCUAUUGAUGUCGAAUGAAAAAGCAAUUCAAGAUUCUUAGAAAGGAUUUUGGAAAUUUCAGAAGAGAUUAGAGAUUGCUGUAGUCUUCAUGUAACUGAGAGUUCCAUUUUUAAUCCCGUGUUUUACCAGACUUGGAUAAAAUGAAGUUCUGUGUCAAAAUGUGGGCUUAUCAAGUGUUGGACAAUUUAAAUUCUUUUGGUGGGAAGUUGGACCGGACCAUUUUACAGGCCAUGUUAUCUUCUUUCGAUCGCAUGGUCGAAAAUUCAGAAAUUAAUCCUAUGGUGGAGGACCAUAUGAACUACUUUAGUUCUUUGCAACUACAGCCACUUCUUUUGGUGACAUCAGGACCCAAAACAUGGCAUGAUGUCAUGAGAACAUAUACAUCUGGAAUUAUAUGCCAAUUAUUUUAUUGACACGCUCACUUGUCGAUUUUCUUAGCAUUGAGCUGUUUGCAUCUGCUUAAAUAUUUUUCACAGAUUGUUCAUCCAUUUUGAUUUCGUGUGAUGUUUGAUUCAUUCAUUUAAUCUCUAUUUUCGAAAUCUUAGAGGUCAUGCUGAGAAGUUUAACAAAAUUGAGCUGGGAACGUGUUGACGUCAGUUUCAAAGGAAGUAAACAGAGAUAUUUUGCUCACAACACCAUUCAGGCAUGUAUUCAACCCCUAGCUCCACAACGAGUCAAUAAUGCCUUUGCUCGCUGCAGGAACUUCCAAAUCAUGUGUUUUUUGCUUGCUUAGGUCUUUUAUUCUGUCAUUUUUGUCUCAUUUACGUUAGACGCGUGAAAGUUACCAAUUUGAGUUUCUCCAUUGAACAGCCAAAUAAAUGAACAUCCAAGCACUAGAAUUCCAGUUUACACAAAUCUCUUCCAUUGCUCUGAGUCCGUAGUUAGAUGCUUACUGCCUUACUGAUAACACUUGACAAUGGCAUCAUCUAUCUUCUUGUUUAUGAUGUUAGAGGUGUUAACCAUCUAGGAUGACGCUGAAUGCUGCUACGGUGCAAUCAACUAAUAUAAUUAUUUUCUGCCACUGCUGCAAGUUCUGUGGUUCAAGAAACUAUUCUUGUUUUCCUACUU
RNAcentral lists this long non-coding RNA (47493 nucleotides) under Coffea arabica (coffee). RNAcentral's name for it is "long non-coding RNA (CARA_LNC007053)". The record is from RNAcentral. Lineage: Eukaryota; Viridiplantae; Streptophyta; Magnoliopsida; Gentianales; Rubiaceae.